RNAcentral lists this long non-coding RNA (57091 nucleotides) under Capsicum annuum. RNAcentral describes it as "long non-coding RNA (CANN_LNC015940)". Lineage: Eukaryota; Viridiplantae; Streptophyta; Magnoliopsida; Solanales; Solanaceae. The record is from RNAcentral.
UAAAGAUAACUAUAUGGCAGAAUCUGAGACUGGAAAAUGAAUUGAAUUAAGGAAGAUAGUUACCUUCGGCUGAAUCUGAGUUCAUGGAGAAAAGGUGAGGAAUCUUUAUAUGCAUGUCUGCUUCUGCUUCCCUAGUAGCACCCUCAACGGACUGAUUUUGACACAAAACUUUAACGAAGGGAACUUCUUUGUUCUGAUGAUCAAGAAUCUCUGCUGGAACUUCUUCAUAUGAGAGGCUAUUCUAAAUAUCUGUACGUUCUAGAGUGAUUAUAAUGGAUGAAUUGUCCAUACAAUUCUUUAAUAAGGACACAUAGAACACUGGAUGAACUGACGACAAGUCUAAGGGUAGCUCAAGCUCAUAUGCUACCUUCCCAACACGAUUCAAAAUCCUGUAGGGGCUUACAUAUCGAGGACUAAGCUUCCCAUUUUUGACAAAUCUCUUCACCCUAUUCAUGGGUGAAACCUUAAAAUACAUAAGAUCAUCUACUUCAAACUCAAGAUCUCUAUUUCUUAUGUCUGUAUAAGAUUUCUGACGAAUCUAAGCUACUUUUAAUCUCUCUAGAAUCAACUGAACUAUCUCCAUGGCUUCAAAUACCAUAUCUUGCCCAAUCAAAGUGGCGUCACCCACUUUGAACGAAUCGAUUGGUGAUCUACAUCUCCACCUAUAAAGAGCCUCAAAUAGGGCUAUCUGAAUAUUUGAAUGGUAACUGUUAUUAUAGGGAAACUCAAUCAUCCCAACUGCCUUUGAUUUGAGGUUGGAGGGGAUGUUUUGCUUACUGGGGACAUAAAAACGUUCUAAGUUGAGGGUGUUGAUGUGUAAUAGAAAUAUAUCUCUUUUGACACUUAAAAUGAGGAAACUAUACAAGUUUCUAAGAUUGUUUUGUCAGAUAUGAUAUGUUAUGGGUAUGUUUUGCAAGAAAUGAGGUUAUGGAUGCAAAGUUCAUGACAAAAGUGAAAAUGGUGUUUUUGGCCAAUUAAUUAAUCAUUUAUGGAAUGUUCGUGAUACUUUCUUGAUUGUUCGUUACCAAUUCAUGUGAUUAAAUUGAAGAAAUUGAAGUUUGGUUGCAAGGAUUGGAAGGCCCUGCACUUGCUAAGUAUACAGAAGGACCAUAAGUAGCACUUGUGGUUGGUAUGUGAAAAUAAGUACAGGAGUUGAAGAUUUGAAGAUCUAGAGAGUAAAAGAGUUGAAAAAGUGUGGCCAACACUCGAUAAGUCAGCAUGUGGAUCACAAGUACCACUUAUGGAACGCAUGUUGGAAAAGCAAGUGCCAGAGGACAAAAACCCCGAGAGCUAGGCUGAAGGUCUUGUACCUGUGGUCUGUACAUGUGCCUGCCCUGCAUGCCGGAAGUACCACUUACGCCUAAGGGCAGACCGUAAGUGUAUGGCGCAAGUGACCACCGACUCAGCUUUUAUUUUUUUAUUUGUGCUUUGAUUUUAGGGUUUCCUCAUGUUCUAUAAAUACCCAUUAUAUGAUUUUUUGAAAAAUAAAAUGCACUUUUGAUAUUCACAAAAAUAUUUCGAUUCCAACAUCCAAUUUUUAUCUUGGGAUUCUCUUGUAUUAACUUUAGUAGAUUAAUUUAGUUACGAUUGUGGCUUUUUCUAUUUAUUAUUGUGAUUUAAUCUAUGCUUUCAAUCAUGAAUUUUAUUGAUUAUUUCACAAGCAUGAGCGGCUAAAAACUUAUAGCUAGGGUUGUGGAAACCCUUGUAUAUUGACGACGUAGGGGAAGUGCUAUUGUUGUUCUGAACUGAUACCCAUUAAUGUAUUUUAGUAUCUUCACUUUAAUAGUUAUUUUAGUGGUGACCAAUGUUAACAUCCCGCCAAGAUUGUUGCUACUUACUCCAAAAGAGGAGUAGUGACUAAGAAAAGAUAACGAUAACAGUAAUUUAGAGUUUAGUUUUCAAUCCACACUACUAGGCAUUAUCUGAGUAAGAUUGUUAGCUAUAAUCUAAUAACUAGAGACUCAAAAGGUAAUAGUAAACUAGGAUCAAGAUAAGUUUUAGUAAGGAGACAUCCUAAGACUCAAAGGUAAAGGGUGAAAUUCAUCUGCUCUUCUAAAAAAUAGUAGAUGGUACAUAAAUUAUCAGAUUUUUCAUAUAAGGUAUCGGUUUGGUUCAACAAAGCACGAUAAGCCUACGUAGUUGAGAAGUCGGGGAAUACAAUCCUAGUGUUCACCAAUACUGAUUUCAACAAAAGUCAAUAUUUUCUUCUUGUUCGAUAUUGCUAUUCAAACCCCCUAUUUACUUCUCCAUUUUUUCCAUUGAUUACCGCAUCUGAGAUCCACAAGUCCAUGUAUUCUCUUGGGAUUCGACCCCAACCUUUAUUUUGUUACUAUAUUUGAUAGUUACUGUAAUUAUCUUUGAAAUGAAGGUGUAGCUAGGUGUUAAUCAUCUAACAAAUGACAAUGAUAAUGAUGAUGAUAAUGAAAAUUAUCAACUUGAUUAUAAGAAUGUAAAUAGAUAAAAUUCCUAAUCCUUCUAGAGAAUGAAAGCUCGCCACUUCACCACAAAGAACCAACGAACUGAACUGAUCCACCUAACUCUACAUAGAAAAAGUAGAUUUGCCUCCGGACCAUGCAACACAUGGGGAUAUAGGGUCUGGAGACGGUUAGUGGUGUGAACACUAGCACAAAACUCAGGUAAAAAGUGAGAAAACUAAUUCCAUAGUAACACUUCAAAAUAAGUCAAAAUCCAAUUCACAUAACCAUAUACAAAUACAUAUAUAUGCAUAUAGUGCAGGGAUAAUGAAUAAGGUUUAAUAUGCUGUUUAAAACUUUAGCUUGAAUUUUGUAGCUUAACAUCAUAAGUUAUGCAUGAACCCAUGGGCUAUAUGGGCCGAGUUCUUCCCCAACUUGUAGCGACCCAAUUUAUAUGGACGUAUGAAAUAGAGGGCAUACGUACGCACUAUGGGGGACUCAAACUACCUGACAUAUCAGAGUGACACAAAUACCAAAUCAUAUAAUAUGAUGAGGGGGAAUUGAACCUCCAAAUCAAAUUAUUUUAAUAAAGGAGACUCAAACAACCCAGUCAUAUAGACCCCCGCGUUGGCAAUCGCAGUUUCCAGUAUUGGUCCUUCGGGACCUCCACUUUUACGACUCAGCUGCAUAACCCUCAUUAAACCCAAUUAAACAUUUAACACAUACAUUCCUAUUUAUUGAACCAUGAUACAUAUUUAGGCAUACAUUGUUAGCAUCAUCACAUCAACUAUACUAUCAAGGUAACAUCAACAUGCUACACCAAUUAUCAUCACUUUGGGUAAUUCAUACCCCCCUUGGUUCAAUUGAAAAUCACUAUGCUUCAUUAGUUUUUCAGAUUAUGCAAUAAUUCAAGAAUAGUUCAAUUUGCAUACUUUUCAUAUUCAAAACCAAUUUCCACAAUAUGGGGUAGAGAUCAGGUCAUAACUACUUAGAAAGUCACAAGUUUGGGGUUAAUCACAAUCCCUAGUUCGUUAAUGAUACCCUUGCACCCACAAGCUCAAAACCAUAAUUAAAGCAUAAAUAAUCAUGGGUAAGUCGUAGGAAACAUUGUUCAAUCAAUAAGUAUUCAAAACACUCAACUCUUAUUUCAAGCCAACAUCAAUACCAAAUCAAGAAGUCUUUGAAAAUAAUGUUUCUACCAAAUUAAUAGUUUAGGAAAGAGUAACCUACCUAAAAUACCCAGUUUCAUAGAAACAAUUCAACACAUGAACCCUUGGAUGACCUACUUCUUGGAUACCCUACGAAUGGCUACUUAAGAAACUUGAGAAUGAUUUUAGAAGUGUUUGAUUACAUGAUGAAUAAGAAAUAACCACUCUUAAGUGCCUUAUGAAUGUGGGGAUUUAAUUAGGUGAGAAGGGAAUUGUCCAAAGUUCCCUCAAUUUAAAAAUUAAGAUUUAGUCAUCAGUGACUACGAGUCACUAUAUGACUCAUAUUGUCUCAUUAUGACUCGAUACCAUGAGUCAUACAUAAAAUGCUUUCCAUGAUACCCACAACUGAUGAUCCUAUGAAUAAAUUGGUAUGACUCAUAAUGGGACCCUACAACUCAUAGGGUACAAUCGCUUUCAUCUAAGAACCUAUUUGUGGUAAACAUUGGAUACCCUACAAUUUCCAUCCCAUGACUCGUAACAAGUAAUUACGACUCAUAGUGAUCCAAUCCUACUAAUAGCAUAACGUAGACACAAGCUUACUGAUUUGUUUAUGAUUUGAUCCAACGACUCGUUAAGACUCCUUAUGACUUGUCAGGGGUGUCGUUGUUAGGAUAGUGAGGAUAAAAUUUUAGAAAUUUUCAAGGACCAAAAACCUAGGGUGUAAUAGAAAAUGAAAGAGGUAAAAUAAAAAAAUUAUUUUAAAAACACAUUAUUCAAGGUUAUAGUAGUAUUCUUAAGAAAACUCGUGCGAAAACGUAGUAAAACUAAGGUCCAAAUUGAAGAAAUUCCUUUUUCAACUUUAUCAGUAAAACCCCAAAAGUUUCAUUUUGAAAUCAUGAUUUUAAAGUGUUUCUCAAUAUAUAAUCAAUGAAAAAUAAUGAGAAAAGGGAUUUUUUACGACUCGAACCAGGGUUGGCUAUGACGGGUAUCUCAAGUCCAGCAAGGAUCGGAGACCACCCUCUUUACCUAGGUAAAUAGAACAUAACACACCCGACAAUGGCUGAAUUUUGAAUAUAUAAAAAUAUAGAAAUUAAUGAGUUCAAAGACAUCUAAGAGUAUCAAAAUCAAUACUCAAUCCACAAUAAUAUCCAUAAAGCCUCUACACUAGAAAACAACCUACGCCGGGACAUGCCAGCGACCCUAAAAAUGACUAUGACAAUAACAAUAACAAUAUAAAUGUAAAUUCUUCAAUUCUAAUUUAUGGAAAGAAAAACUGGUGGGAUGAUCAAGUCUUCCAGAGAAUGGAAUCUCACCACUUCACUACAAUGACCAAAUCUGAGAUCAUCUAUCACUUCUUAUGAAAAGUAGAAGUGCCUUCGAACCCUACAUUGUAUGAAGAUACAGUGUCUAGAGAUGGUUAGUGGAGUAAGCACUUGUAUAUAAAUCAUGAUAAGGGAAAAAUAAUGUCAGUGAAAAUUUCAAUUUCAAACUCACAGUACAUGUUCACUUACAUACAUAUAUAUAAUAGAUGUUGGGGUACAGAACAAGGUUUAGCAUAAUAGUAAAACAUUAUCCUAGACUAUGAAGCUCUACCAUCAUAAACAGGCACCAACAGGCUCUAUGGAUUCAGCUCCCUUACUAAAAGGUCCCCAGUGCCAGUUAGUCACAUUAAUUGGGGGUAUCAAGGAAGACCAGGGAAUGCCCCAACCCCACAUAAAUCGUAGAAACAAAAUAUAUCAAUAUUGUGAACCAUGCAUACAUUCAUCAAGACCAACUCUCAUGUCAACAGAGGUGAUUUUCCAGUAUAAGUCAUUCGAGCCCACACCUUCAUGGCUUAGCUACAUAACCACCAUUAAGCAAAAUUAAAAUUUUCACAUAACCCAUUCAUUAACAAAGGAAUUAUCCAUUAAGGCACACCAUAGGUAUCAUCAUACCAUUUAGUUUACAAGCUUAUAAUCAUGCCAUUACAAUUUCGUUAACCUAGGGGAAUGCCUCAACACCCUUUAUUUACUUAAUCAAAUUGGAGAAAUGCCUCGAUCUCCUUUAAUUUAUCAAAUCAAAUUUGGGGAAUGCCUCGACCCCUUUUUGUUCAUUAAAUCAAAACAUAGCCAACAAGGCCUUUAAAAUAUAUGUUCAUUGUUUAACUAUUUAUGCAAUUCUAUAGUAUAGGUGUGUAAGUCAAACUAAGAGAAAAUUCCACAAUUCAAAACCCUUUACACUAGUGGGUUGAGGGAAUACAAUUCCUCAAAACCAAUUUCCAAGUUCAAAAAAUCAAUUUGAGGGAUUGCCUCGACCCCCAUUUUAAUUCUCACACCCAUGCACCCCAUUAGUUAAAAAAUUGUAAAUUCAUAGAAUGAACAACUCAUGAAAACCAUUGAAAAACAAUUCAAAGAUCAACCAUUCCAAAAGCCUCAACUUAUGUCCAAACUCAUAUUCAAAUCUAUAUAAUUAGACCAUUUAAAACAUAUGCUUUUCACAAAAUAAGAUAUAGGGAAGAGUAACAGGCCUUAAUAUAUCACAACUAUGGAGAGAAAUCACCCUUGAGAGUGUUAAUUGACCAACUUCUUGGAAACCCUCGGUGUCCUUGACCUUGGAGAUUUGAUAGAGGUUAAGAGGUUAUUGUGAUUUAUUAAUGAUACCCUAUAGAGGUUUUAAGUUGUCAAUCACGAUUAGGGAAUAGGGGAAAAGUCAAAAGUGACCUUAAUGUAAUACUGAAAAUUUGUCGCCUAGUCACUAAAGGAGACCUUACGACUCGUAGGGUUACUUUACAACUCGUGACCUCCACUCAUAGUCUGGACAAUGUCCAUGGGCACACACAUUAGUCUGGUAUUUAGACAUUAUGGAUUGUUAGGUUCAACCAUAGUCAUGAAAGAAUCAAUUCAGCACUACACUAGUGAGGCUACAAAUAAGCAAUAUACAACUCAUAAUGAGUCUAGAUGACUCCUAUAGUCUUAAUCAUGAUCAAAAUAGAAACUUUGCCAAACAGACUGGUCAGGCUACGAUUAGGGUCCUCUAACCCAUAUUGAUACCUUACGACUCAUAGGGAGUGUCAUAAUCUAGGAAUUGAGCCCCUAGGUCAAGAAAUUAUACAGGACCAAAAUUUGGGGUGUUUCAGUUUUGUAGCUUAACCAAGCAUAAAUGGUGAAUAAAUCCUCAAGAUUCGUCUACACUCAAAGCUUUGAGCUCAAAAAAUAAAAGAAAAUAUAAAAAUAGGUUCUUAUAUCAACCUAGCUUUGGCCGACUGAGCAGUCAAAUGACUGCUUAAGCAGUUAUAGCUAAAGCAAUGGGUGACCACUAAAGUGUUCUAUCCUACGAGGCUAGGCCUGCUAAAAUUGUCCUCUUUUGCCAAUCUAGUAAAGUUCCUUCUUUAAAGAUAGGAGACGAGGCAUGCAUAAAUACUAAAGUGGUGCUCUUUUGCUUAAGAGGCCACCGCUUAAGCAAUAUUUUAGCCGCAAAGUGACGCCACCAGCUUAAGCGGCCACGUCUUAAUCAGUAUUUUACUUGUUAAAGCGAUCGCACUAGCUUUAGCUGCACCAACAAUUUUCUGGAUUGCAAAGUUUUUGGCUGACCCCUUGGAAUUCAAUUUGAAUUCAAAAAACACAAAAGAACUAUGAUACAAGGUUAAUUUUGAAAUUUCGAAGGCGAUUUUUUAUUUUUGUAAAAAGUUUUUUUCACAAAAUUAACCCCGAGACCACUUUUCACUAUUUUCUAAAUAAAGGAUUGAAAUAAGACAUAAAGGUCCCAAAAUCAAACCAAUCCAUCUACUAGAUAAAAUUUGACAUUUGAAAUCUACUAGCAUAGUCCAAAUUAACGUUUGGCACUCUGAUCAUAAAAUGUUGACCAAAGUCAACUAUAUGGCUUCUCAAGACUUUAAAAGACCAUAAACUAGCACAAAUUAUUUUCAAUCGCAUUAAGAAUUAUGAAAACCAUCUCCAAACCUCAAAAUCAACAUAUAGAAAUGGAAAAUUCAUAAAUUCAGAUCCUUAAGUAUCCAAUACUGAAAAUCUAGUUCUCCCUUGAACUAAAAGUAAAGAAAUACUUGAGUUAGUGUAAAGCUAGGGAUUACUACUAAGCAUGUCAAACUUGGUCUUCCAAGUACCCUCCUUAAUAAGACAGUUUCUCCAGUUAACCUCAACUACAAAAAUAUCUCUAGAACACAAUUGUGUAACAUCUCUAGAUAAAAUAGAGAUCAACUCCUAAACAAAGGCCAACAUCUCAUCCAGCAGAACUGAAUUCCAAUGAAGAACAGAAGACUCAUCGAGAAUAUAGCACCAAAGCAUAGAUACAUACAAAAAUAGAUGAACAAUUGAAAAUUCUAGAGGUAAGCCAACUCAAAAGCAACCUCCCCAAAUAUCUGAAGAUUCUCAAAUGAUCCAGUGUACCUCGGGUUAAGCUUGUCCUCUUUCUAAACCUUAUCACACCCUUCAUGGAUGACACAUAAAGGAAGACUUGAUCACCAAACCCAAAUUUUAAAGCACAAAGUCUACAAUCCACAUAAUUCUUUUAAGUAUUUUGGGUGGUCUGAAUCCUAUCCUAAAACACUCAAACUCUAUCCAAAGACUCAUGAAGUUAAUCAGUACCACAGGGUCUAACUUCUGAGGUCUCAAACUAAUUAAUAGAAGAUCAACAAUGCCUACCAAACAACCCAUCAAAAGGGGCCAUCUCAAUACUUGAAUGGUAGCUAUUAUUAUAAGCGAACUCUACCAUUAAUAGUUCAUAAAUAUUUUAGUUGUAGCUAAAAGGUUUAUUCAUGGUACAUACAAUUGUCCAAGUGUAUGUUCCAUAUAUCAACAAAAUCAAUAUGACAAUGGUCAACUAUUAUUAGGAGCACGAUUAUUAGAUUCUAAAAAUAUUAUGCUACACGAGAAGUAUAAUGGAGUGACAAAAAAGGUAGAAGUCUUAGAGAAUAAGAUAAAAUAUAGAUAGAUUUUUUGGUUUUAUCUAAUAUUCAUAAAUGGUAUGUACAAAUAAUAAAAUCUAUAUAGAAGGAUGACUGAGUUGGUUGACCAAGUAAUUUUUUAAUUGAGGGUCUUAUCUUUGAAAUAUUUCUUCAUAUUUUUUUGAUCAAACACGUUACACUGGCCUGUGCAGAUCUAGAGUGUAUAGAGGGGUUUUACUCGAACCCUCUUGACAAAAUAUUAUACCUUAUAUAAAGGGUAUUUUAUUUAGUAUUUAUGUUAUAUAUAUAGAGAGAGAGAUUUUGAACCUCUUUGAAUAUUUAUAAGAUUAGAAGUUUCCUCAGUAUUUGAGGAGGUUAAAAAUUCACGUUGAGAUUCUUAGUAGAUUACAUUUUAAUUUUUGAACCCCUUGGUGAAAAUCCUAAAUCCAGUACUUAGCAUAGGGCCUACCAAAUAUAGUAAACCUCUUCAAUGUAAAUUGUGAGCUAUUACUUUGAAGCGGGGAGCUAUGUGUAGUUUUGAUAAUGAGCAGCUAAACUGCAAGGAACCAGCUCCCUAGAUGUGCAAAGUACUGUACAGCUGGAACAUGGUAUCUAAACAUUUUUUCCAUUUAUGUAACAAAUUUGUCGAUGUUGGUUUGUACCAACUUGGAUAGUUGGUCCAAUGAUAUUCUAUCCUUAAUCAUCACCCAACAAUAAAAGGGAAAAGACAGCUCUUAAACAAUUAGUUUUUGCAUAUCCUAAAGUGUGAAAAGAGAGGUAGCAAAACCCCAUUUCAUAACUCCUCAAGUUAUUAGCAUUAUCUAUGAGCUUAAAUUAAAAUUAUUCUUGAGUGAGUGUUGAAUUGUAAUUGAACUAAUCAUGGUAUAAGAGUAGUGUUUUCUUUUAGAGAGAUCUACUUAGAGUUAUCUAAACAUUGUUGUUGAUUAGAGUUAGUCAGCAGAGAGAAUCCUUGGUAGAGUUACCAAGAUGAGCUUGUAGUAAAGUUUCUAUAUGCAAAUGGAGCCUAAAGGUAGGCUUAAAUCUAGACUGUAAAUAAAAAUUUGAUUAUAGUGGAUUUCUUUGAUGCUUUUGAGGGUAAGUCAUGGUUUUUUCCAUGUUGGGUUUCCACGUUAGAAACUUGUGUUUAUACACUUCCUACAUUGCCUUUAAUUUUAAGUACCUCAUAAUUGCUCUACUGAUUUAUCACUUGAUAUUGAUCCUGACGGACCUAGUCCCUCACUAUGUGGUGUAACCCCCAAGUGUUCAAAAAUUGGUAUUAAAGCUAGUUCACUCUAAAAGGUUCAUAAAUAGAGUGUCAUGGUCAUCAUGACUUAUAUAGCUAAACUAGGAGAUGAAAGAUGAGAAUCUAGCCAAUGCAAAUGAUGAGUAAAAAUUUUAAAUCAUCCUGAAAAAAAGGUGGAGCUAGCUGAUAGUAAAACAGGUGUUGGUGGUAUUGGAAGACUCCUAUAGUACUACAACUAAGGAUGAGAAGAUAAGAGAUGUCUCUAUACUAGCAGUGGAAAACAGUUUGGUUAUUAUGACUCCAUUUUUGUAUUUUUGGCACUCACAAACAUGAAGAAGGAAAUGAGGUAACACUUCUUUAUCUUAAAGAAAAUCUAGGUAACUAAACUUUUAUGGAAAUAAAAAAUCUUUCUAGUAUGGUGAUAGACUUUAUUUGUGAAAUAACUCCCGAGAAGAAUGCAUUCGAGAAGAAAGUAGAGAAUUAAGAACAUAAGUUGAUUGCCUCGAAUAUUAAGAUUUCAAAAACUAAAGAAAUGUUUUUUAAGUUGAAACCUGAGAAUCUUUGUUGUAUGAGUCAACUAAAAAGGGGAAAUGAGUUCGAUGACAAAAAGAAGAAGGAAGCCUCAGGGAUUCAAAUUGUUAUUGAAGAAAAGUAGAGGGAUUCUGAAAAUCACCUUAUGGAUACACUUUAAAGAAUUAAAAAUUUUGAAAAGGACCUGGUCCACUUAGGAGAAGAUUUGAAUAAAUCUCUCAAAUGGACUACUUUUUCACAAACUCUUUCUAAUCUACUUAGUCAAAGUGUUAAUAAUAAUAGAGGGUUGGGACAUCAAGGAGAAAUUCAACCUAUUUAGUCAAAAGGAAGGAAUGCUCAUUAUGUUGAAAGCAAAAAUUAUGAAUUCAAGAGUACUCACAAUGGAAGAAAUGGACAUCUGAAAGAAAAAUGUCAAUCCUAGAUUUAAAGCUAAAUAAUGAAAAGGUUGAUUGUGUUCUCUCUUUCUCUCUCUUGAUACUUGAAGAUAGAGGUGUCAUAUUUUGGAAUGGAUGAUUUCAGGGGGCCUGGUUCCAAAGAAAUUCAUAUUAAAGGAAUCUUCACUAGAAUAAAUAACGUGAGAAUCAGAUUCACCUCCAAAUAUUGGCUAGGACAAGGGGACAGGUAUCCAUGAUAGAGUUGGUGUAUGCUAAUCAAACUCAGUGUCAUACCUUUGCAGGUAUACACCUAAGGGAACAAAUUUGGCAGGAAACAAUUAAAGCAAACAUAAGUUGAGAUCACACUCAAAGAGGAGAGGGACUUAGUCCCAUCUCUCAGGUGAUUACCAAAAUGAUAUUCCUGUAAUGUUUAUAAGAUUUCUAUUUGAAAAGUCUACUUGUUUAAUUCCAUAUAUAUAAAAGUUGUCAAAUUCAUUCAAAAGUAAAAGAUUCACAAUGGUUGUCAUUAGAUACGUCUGUUCAAAAAGGGUGGGUCUUAAAUAUGAAAUGGUCAUCUCUUUAUUGAAACCCUAUCAAUUCAUUAUUUUUACAAUUAACUCAGAACUCUAUUAAAACUGGUCCUUCUUGUCUCCUUCUCAAUUUUUUUUCUCUCACCCUAAAAAUGUCUGAAAUUCCCUCGUCUUCAAACCCCAUGAAUGAUCUGUCUUCAGAUCAUUCUCAAGAACCAUAAAAAGCAUCAUUUGUUAGUUCUUCUCAGGAGAUUCAUGAAACCCUAGUUUAAAUUUCUCCAAUUGAAACUUUAAAUCCCUGUGAAUACUCUAUCCAAAUAGAAGACACAAAUAAAUGUUCUAGCUCCCAAGUUAAACAAGAGAUUUUUCAAAUUAAAGGAUCUCUUUCCUCAGAAAAAUAAUAAUCCCCAGCGCCCCUCAAAUUUAGGUUCCCUCUGAUGAAUUAAAACUGUCAAAACUUCAAACAAGUUACAAGAACCUGUUUCUCCUACCCUUUCAGACUCAAAUUCGAUAUUUGCUAAUCUAGUUGAUGAUGAAAUUUUGGUGAAGAAAUCUAACUCUCUUAGUAGCAUGAAUUUUGUAGUUGAAAACUUGCUAUUACUUGGAAAUAAUCCCAAAGAAAAUUUUGCUAGUGUGGAAGAGAAAAUAAUAAGGGAAAAGGAUGAUUUGGAAGAUAAAAAAGGAAUAUAUACGACCUCUAAAUAAAGAAAAUAAAGAGGAGGAUGAAAAACAUUUGAUUCUUAAAAUGCAAAAGCUAAAGGAUAGAAAAAGAAAAGGAAAAAUGAUUGACACCAGUGUAGUAUAAGGAACAAGAUCCUAUUUCACUAAGGGAUCUGAACACAAAUUGCUAGAAGAUGCCAUGAAGAAAAGUAAGUCAUCUACUGCUAAAAGAGGAAAACUCAAAGAGGCUUCAUAGUAGUGGGGGAAAAUAUCAAAGUAGUGGAGAUUGGAGAAAACGAAAAUACUGAAACUGACAUUGGUAUUGCACAUAAGAUGAAAGAACCAAAUAUUUUUGGUGAUAAAAGGACUAGAUCCUCUUAUCCUAAGUCUAAGAUUCAUAGUGCAAUAAAAAAGAAACAUAUUUCUAUGAAAAGGAUGAACAUCUCCAAGGAACCUACUCCCAAGAAAAGAAAAAAAUAAUGAAAAAAAGAGCCAAAUGAUAAGUAUAAGAGAGUAAAUAAGGAUCAAAAUGCUGAAGACACAAAAAGUUCUAAUAGAGAGAAUGUUUGAUCCCAAAAUCUAUGAAAAACCUGAGAUGGUGGAAUUAGUAUAAUCUGUCAGGCAUCAAGAUUAGCUGUAUUUAUUCGAUAAAGCAACACCAAUGGUGUUUAAAAGUGAAGUAAGAGAAUUUUAUUAUUCAAUAGAUUUAUCAGAAGAUGGGUUGAGUCUAUUUACACUGGUGCAAGGAAAAUAAAUAUGGUUGGAUGAAGAAAUCUUGGGAGGAAUUCUUGAUGUGCCUACUAUAGGGGUAAAGACAGUUAUGAAGCAACAUCCCACAACUGAAUUCAUGAUUGAAGCUUCAAGAGUAGGGGGCCUCAAUUGCUGAAGUAAAGAAGAAGUUUCUAAAGAGUGAGUUUCUACUUGUUUUUGAGUUUAUUAAUAAGGUCAUGAUACUAAGAUCCGAGAAAAUAACAAUUAUUUCUGAUAUUUAUCUAUUUAUAUCAAAUGCUUGAGUAAGUUUGAGUUAAUAAGUCUGCCUACUCUAAUGAUAGAGCAUAUGCAUAUAGUGGUUGAAGAAAAGGAAGGAAGAUGUGGUAUGCCUUAUGGUUAAUUUUUGAACAAAGUUCUUAAUUAUUUUAGAGUGAUUAGGACUAAAGAAACACCAGAGAUAGUGAAAUAACUGAUCAAUUUAACCACACUGGUGGAAAAUAGGUGUAUUGAAGGGAAAGUGAGGAUUGUAUCCCGAGUGUUUAAACUAGUGGAUGCUUAAGAAAUCUUAUCCAAAGAGGUAGAAGAGUUGAGGAUUAUACUAGCAGCCAAAGACACUGAAACUUCAAAUUCAGAAGUUGUCCACAAAGGGACCAGGUGACACAGGAGAUCUUGCAGUAGAGAAUGCAAAACUCAAAGAAAAAAUUACAGAAUGACGGGUGAAAUAAAAAGACUAAAUAAUGAAGUAAAAGCUCUCAUCAAACAAUUGUUGGAUGCUUAUGCUGCUGCAGCUAAUAGAUUGGACAUGUUGCUAAAGUCAAUUUCUCUUAAGCCUCCUUUUACCUAUGUUCUAGUGUGUCAGUUUUUGUUUUUUGGUUCCAUGGUGGCCUUUAAAAGAAGUAGUUUUAUAAUUUAUUUUUGGUAUAUUGUGUUGAUACUUAUCCUAACUAGUUAUGAAUGAAUCUAUACUUGUGAUAUUAGAUUGCUUCUUUUACUUUAGGUGAUCCUUCAUGACAGUGUUUCCUCUGUGGCCAUUAGUUAAUUAUCUUGCACUUAUUUUACAUUAUAAUUUACUAUAUAUCUUUUUCAAUGAUUCCAACAGGUGGAAUACUACUAAAUUUAUAUGUAAGGACCUGACAGUACAAUGGUAGAAUAGUGAUGGGGGAAUAAAUACAAAUAUGCAAAUGCAUAAAUUGAUAUGGCAAAAUAAUACAAAGAUGCAAAUGCACAAAUUGAGGGUACAAAAUGACAGGUGGAAUUUUUUGCUACCAAAUGACAACAAGGGACCUAGUCCCUGUGUUGUAUUAUAGAAAAAGUAUGAUGAUAGGGUGAACAUUCAUACUCAAUUGGUAAUCACUCUAUUUAAAUGUGAUGAAUGUGCAUCAAAUUAUAUGAAAUAUCUAGGCUUUGCACCCUUAGAAAAAUUCCCUUAGGUGAAACUUUUGGACUAGGUGCGACUCAGGAUAUUGGUCGUACCCUAGUAUACUACUUAAUGACCCCCUCUCGUAUACUAGGUAGUGUGGUGAGUGUUACACACUAUUUAAGAUACAAUUUAACCUCUCCAUGGUCGUAUAUUAGUGUAUGAUCCAUACCAAGCUAAGUCGUAUGAUGUUUGGUACUUGGCCUAGUUGACACUAUUUUGGGUACGGUUUGUGGGUAUGAUUUAGGGUACCAUUUGUACCCUUGGGUAUGAUUCAUGAAUGUAUGGUCAUACCAUGGUCAGUAUAUAUGUCUUUGGUUAGGCCUAGGGUAUGAGUUAGCGUAUCACUCAUAACCUAAGGUAUGAUUGAGUAAGUGAAUUGUACCCACCUGGGUAGUCACUUUCCAACUUUUAAGUUAAGGGAUCUAUGGACAUUUAUCCACCCUUAAAACCCACAGUAUAUAACAUAUUUUGGCCCUUCAUUCCUUAUAAUUACAAGGUCAAAACACACAAAAAUCCUCUCAAAGACUUCUCCCACAAGAUUGAAGCUACAGUUCAAAGGGGUGUUCAUAUAGAACAAAAGAGGAGUCAAGUUUCUUUGGUAAAUCAUCUUGUUUAAGGCAUGUGACUCUUUCUCUUAUUAUUAACUAUAAAACAAUGUUUUUUAAAUAUGUAUUAAUAUUUGUAAAUGAUCAUUUUGAAAUCAAAUGAUAAGGAUUUUGUUGCCUAAUGAUGAGUAAUGUUUGCUUUUGUUUAGACUUAUCUUUUUAUAUGACAAUGGUGGUGAUUUGUACAUGUGGGAACUAGUUGUUUAUAGUUUAGCAAAUGGGUCUUGAUAAACCCUAAUGUUGAUGAUUUUUACUUUGAUAUUGGCUUUGUUAAGGGCAUACCCACAAGGUGUUUGUGAAAAUGUCUAGUCACAUUUUGAUAAUGUUUUAAACUAGGGAAAUGGCCCAAUAAGUGUCAAUGGUUGGUAAAUGUUAUUAAAAAUGAAUUAUUAGCCAUGUAAUUAUUUAAUGUAUGACCUUGUUGGUUUUACGGAUAAAAGGGGCUUAAAGUCCCUAAACAUGAAAUUAAAGUAUGUUGAACUAAAGUGUGGUAUAAUAUUUCUAAUAAAUAAUAAAUGGUUUUUAAGGAUCUUGAUGACCAGAAAUUGAAUUGAAUGAUGAAUUUAAUUAAGGCAUUGGAUUAUUAAAGUAUUUAUUUUAUGAGUGGUUUCAUGAAUACCUCGUGGUUGUAUAUGGUGAUAAAUAAGUUGAAUGGGCUAGAGUCCCUAAGUGUGAAAGUUAAAGAAUGUUACUAUGGACCAGGGGAUAGAGUCCCAAUGUCAACUACCGAUAGUUGCGAUGGCUUGUGUUUAAAGUCCCUUACAUAAUAAAGUGGCAUGUGGUUAGAGUCCUUUGAUUAAUGAAAUUGCUUGAGGUUAGAGUCCCUUGCCUAAAUAUGUCGACUUGUGGUUAGAGUCCCUUAUCUUAUAUGGCUUGUGGUUAGAGACCCUUGACGAACGAAAUAGCUUGUGGUUAAAGUCCCUUGCCUAAUGAAAAGGUAUCUGGUUAAAGUCCAUUUCUUAAUGAAAAUAUAUAUGGUUAAAGUCCCUAGCCUAAUGAGAAAUGUUUGAAUCUAUAAAUGUGGGAGGCCAAAGUCCUUUACUUCAUGACUCAUGAUUGAACGAAUCAAGAAUACUUGAUAAGUCAUGUUUUCUUUGGCACGUUAUGAAUAUGUUAUAUAUAUAUAUAUAUACAUAUAUAUAUAUACAUAUAUACAAUGCAUGCCCAUGAAUACGAAUGUGGUUAAAUAUGAUGAUUUGUCUUGAUUUUUAUAAACACUCAUUUUAUCCUUAUCCUUGAGUUACAUGCUAGCACUCCAACCACUAACCUUUUUCGGAUGCUAUGUCCCCACGCGACAUAGCGGUCAGAGCUUCUUCUUCUCUUCCUGGGUAGUGAUUAGGUGAUCGAAGUGGAUCAUGUGUUGACUUAAGUGGUGAGAUUCCCUACAUUGGAAGGUAUACGCUUUAUAGUCUCUUAUCUUUGGUCAUAGACUUAUUUAGAUUUUGUUUGGCUAUUGUCGGGGGCUUGCCUCGACAUAUUUAUACAUCGAAUUUGUGUAGAGGCAUUGUGGAUGACUAUGGACUUGGUAAUAUUUGUUAGAAUAUUGAUGUAAAUAAAAUGUGUAGACAUUUGUUAAGAUUAAUAGUAGACUUGUUUUCCGCUAUCUUGAUUCAUAGUUAGAAUUUAUCUGACACUAGUGCAUUGGAAUGAUGGUUAGGUUGACAGGGAAGUCUCCGGUCCAUGUUGGGCUUGAGAUGCCUAUACGACAAGGCCUGAUCAUGGGUCGUGUCAUUAUAUGGUUUGGUUUGUCAUCAUCAAAAAGGAGGAAAAUUGUUGUGUAGUUUUGAUGAUGAGCAACAAAACUGCAAGGGACUAGAUCCCUGGACGUGCAAAGUAUUGUACAGCUGGCACAUGGUAUCUACAUAGUUUUGUCCUUUUGUGUAACAAACUUGCAGGUGUUGUUUUGAACAGACAUGGAUAGUUAGUCCAAUGAUAUUCCAUCUGUAAUCAUCACCUAUCUAUAAAAGGAAAGAGACACCUCUUUAACAAUUGGUUUUUGUAGAUUCUAAAGAGUAAAAAGUAAGAAAACAAAAACCCAUUUCAUUACUCCUCAAGUUCUUAGCAGUUUAUGUGAGCUUAAAUUUAACUUGUUCUUGAUUGAGUAUUGAAUUGUGAUCGAACUACUCAUACUAUAAGAAUAGUGUUUUCUUUUAGAGAUAUUUUCUUAGGUAGAGUUACUUAAGCAUUAUUGCUAAUUAAAGUUAGUCAGCAGAGAGAGCCCUUGGUAGAGUUACCAGGAUAAGCUUAUAGUAAAGUUUCUAUAAGAGAAAGAUCCUAGAGGUAGGCUGAAAUCUAGAUUAUAAUCAGAAAUUUAAUUACAGUGGAUCUCUUUGAUACUUGUGUAAUUCCCCGAGAGUACACCCUAGAUUCCACACGGUGCUUACAGUCCCGAAAGACCACAAGCUAAUCCAUGACUAGUACCUGCUAUGAGCACUGAGUAUAACUGAUAUCAAAAGAUCAUAUGUGGAAUUUAACUAAAAUAUAACAUAAGGUUUUAAAAUAUAUUUCAGAUAAUGUCGGUCGAACAAUACUGAUAAUACUGACAAAACAACUAAAAACUGACAAACUAUCUGUACUAGUCUGAAACUAUCGGUCGAACAAUAUUGAUACUGAAGAACCAGAGUAUCAAACAUAAAUUGGUGGGGGAUCUCUAGGCGGAGUUCAGCCUAAUAUAACGGGUGACCCCUGGGAUAAAGUCAAGCCUAAACUGAUGGGUGACCCCUCAUCCUACUCUAGCUAUGUAGUUCUGGAAUACAGUAACUUCUAAUAACGACUCUGCCUAAAUAACGGGGAAACCACCAUCCCUACACUCACGGGGUGAUAAAUCCUACUCCUAGCUAAAAGAAAUUGAAUAUUGGACUGAAUAAAAUUUAACUGUUUAUGCUAACUGACUGAACUGAUAACGCUCAUAUCUAUUCUGAAACCAUUCUAUAGAUACUGAAAAACUAGGUAAGCAACUAAAUUUUGGAUAUUCAAAACUCCCAGAACUCUAUAGAAGUAACAAUAAGAUCAUGCUAAAACUUUGAGGACAUGAUAAGUAGUCAUUAUUCACAACUCAUUCUCUUAGACAUUUUAUCUAACACAUGAGGGUCAUGAUUUAAAGCAUGACAAUAGUUUAAAACAUAUGAUAAUCAGAUGGCUAUAAUACUAAACCACUAAUUAGGGAUUUAACAUGAAAAAUCAUCAAUCCAACAUGUAAAUUUUAAUUUCAACAACUCAUGCAAACAUCAUGUAUAAUCAAAAACUGUAAAGAUUCAUGGAGAUAGUUUAUUGUAAACAUGUAAACUAAUGAUUUAAACCCUAAAAAUGAAUUCUUGGACUCCAUAGGUGAAAAGGGUUCAUGCAUGACCAUCAAACAUACCUUAACUUCUUGAUCUUGAAAGAGAAUUAACUUUUCUUAAAUGUUCUUGGAUUGGGAAAGUUAAAUUCUUGAUUAUCUUGAAGAAAGUGUAAUAGAGUCUUGAUGUUCUUGGGAGAUUACCUUAAGAAGAAACCCUAAUUUUUUUUGUUGUUCUUGAGAGUAGAGGAGUUAAUGGCAUCUAAAACUGAUAAGUUAUGGCUAAUAACGCAUAAUGAUGCUUUAAGCCAUGUGUGAGGUACGGUUUGAGGUGAGGAAAACUCCAAAAUACCCAUCCGAAGUUGAAUAAAAAUUACUGAAAUUUUUAGAGGAUGACUUGAGUUGAUAACUUAUCAACUAGUUGAUGACUUAUCAAAUUAAGUCAUCAACUUAUUGUUGGAUUUGGGCCCUUUCUGGUCUGGGUGACGACUUGGGUUGAUAUGUCAUCACUUAGGUGACGGCUUAUCACCUCAAGUCGUCACUUUGGGGUAGAGAUUAUGACAUACUAAUUAUGGGUGACGACUUGGUUAGAUAAGUCAUCACUUAGUUGAUGGCUUAUCAACUCAAGUCGUCACUUGGAAGCUGAAUUUGAUGGUUUCUGGUUGGGCUAACGACUUGGGCUGAUAAGUCAUCACUUAGUUGACAACUUAUCAACUCGGGUCGUCACUUUGUUGACAGACAGACAUGCUGAAGUAAAAGGAGUAUAACUUUCUACUCUAAUGUCGGAUUAAGGUGAAACCAAAUGUGUUGGAAAGAAGAUUCAAAGAUAUUUAUUUGUGUAUAUAGUAGGAAACGUAACUUAUUAUGUAUAAGGUGUAAUGGUCAUUUAAAGUUGAUCCAAGCUGAAAUGUCCCCUAAAACUUAACCAAUAGAAGUGUUCUUAAGUCGUCUUUGAGUUUGAAUAUUUCUAUGACCUCGACUAAUAUAAAAGGAAUUUUUCACACUAUCUAAUUUAUCAUCAUACAUAUAUAUACAUAGAAUAAUUGGGUUCAAUUCUUUAUACUUAGGAACAACAGUUUGAAUUCUAGCCCAAAAAUGUGGGGUGUUACUUUAGCUCCCCUUUGGGAACAUUUAUCCUCAAAUGAGAAUGGUUAGACCGAGAGUACUCUACUAAGGUAACUAAGAGCAUAUACUAAACCUGUAUGAUCAGGAAUAUGAUUACAUGACUGAGUCUAAAAUAUGAUAUAUGACUGAAUUGAUUUCAUGAAUACAUGCAAUGACAUAAAAAUGGUUACAAGGCUGAGAUUGAAACGAGAGAGUCAACUUAUGAGUAACCAUUACCUCCAGCUGGAUCUUGUUUCAUGAAGAAAAGAUAAUGAUUUAGGAGAUGAAAACUUUGGGUAUUACAACAUCUCCCCUUUUGGAUACUUUUUUCCCCAAAUGAUACUGACUUGGCUGAAUUAUUAAGGAAAGAUUGAGAUGAUACAUAGGAUAUUUAUGAACUGAAUCAUGACUGCAUAUCUAGAAUCUGAAAUUGAUGCAUGAUGCAUGCACUGAAAUGGAUUCAGAAUUCAUAUGGAUGUAAACAAACUAUAUCUUGGAAGGGCCAUAUUCAUUAAACUACAGAUAGUAAGACCAGAUCGAAAGACGGAAAAACCAUAGGGACUUGUAUAUCUGAUUGCUAAUAUGAAUUGUUGGCUAUACAGACUAACUCAUACUGAAAGCUUAUGCCCAAUUGGAGCAUUUUUUCAAUGCAUUUCCUUAGAAGUUCUAAUAGCAUUAAAGAGAAUGUAAUCUUGGGCAUGAUCUGAAUAAGACAUCUAUAUAAGGAAUACCAAUAUGGCUAUAAUUCUAUAACAUGAAACAUAGGCCUACGAAACCUCUUCUAGGAUAGAAUUGCUAUGCCUUAGACAAUGCAACUGCUACUUUCAACCUUAGAUAUAUUCCUAAAAUACUCCUUUGACUAUACCUUCCACCUUGAUGCUUCACUUCACCUAAGACUACUGAAAAUAUUAACAUGGGCACUGAUAACUCUACUUACUGAAGUCUGAGCUAGACUGAAUUCUCCCACUAUGGUCAAGCCUACUCAAAUCUACAAAAUGUACACAUAACACUGUAAUACAAGUCUUAGUCAUGAAUUCAAUACUCUAUGCAUUCAUACCUUCCCAUCUCUUGAAUAAUUCUAAUUUCCCCUUCAACAACUAAGUACAACCUCUUACUAGCCAUUCACUAACACAUAAUGCAUUUGUCCACUUACACACCAAUAUGACAUUCAAGCCAAUCUUCAUAACUACUGCAUCAUGUAAAACAAGAAUGCAGUAAUCUUUCCUUCACAUGAAAUAUUUACUCUCUCCCACUUAAGUAAUUUCUCAUCACUACAUAAUUUCAUUAGGAGAAGUCAUUGAAAGGUUGAAAUAUGAGGACCUAAAGCAUGCAUGAACACUAUACAAAACUUGACACUUAAAAGAUACCCGAGGAAUAGAAUAUCAAUAUCAUGGAUUCAUCCAGGGACCUAAAAUAAGGAUAUACAUGACAUAAUCUGAAGUUUACUGAUCAUUAGGAAGGUAGCAUGAAUCUUUGGAACUGAGCAUACUAUAAAACAUGGAUACAUGAGUCAUGAGCUCCAUGACCUGAGUUCGGAGUUUUUGAAUUCAUAGAACAUGAUUCAUACUACUGAGUGAACUGAAACUCUUCAUACUAGAUAUUGGAAGUAUACAUAAUUUUAUGGCAAAUGUAUGAAUAUGAGCUAUGAUCAUGGAGAUGAAAUAUAAGGCAUGAGUAGAUAUCAUGAUGACUGAAAAACCCUGUACUGGGAUAAGAAUGGGUUAGGCAUCCUCCUCCCUUACGGCUAUUCUACAACAUACUGGCAUCACUAUUGGGAUCUGAGAGCCUGACUUGGUUACUUGUUCUAUUAUCUCACCCUUAGCUUCAAUCCAUCAUUCUAAGUCUAUGAACCACUUAAUAAACUCUAAGCUAAACUAAAACCACUUUCUCCAGAGUCUGAGAUAUAACAAUACUCGUACAUACUCAACUCACCCUGAAAAGUUGCAUUUGAAAAUGUAAAACUCUAACGACCCAAAAUGCCUCUCGGGACGUCACACAGUGCUUAAGGCUACAAGAAGCCUCAAGCUAACCCUUAUAGCUAGUUUCUACGAACUACACUCAAUACAAUAUAAAAUAGACUUAAACACUCGCAUAAUCAUAUCAUGUAAAAGGAAAUAUGGAAAGAUACUCGGUCCAUAUAACCACAAUACAGAGAAACCUCAACAAAACCAUAAUACCAAACUCUCAAUACAUCACAAGUAUGAUACUAGUAUGACAAAACCUCUAUGAAUCAAAAACUAGAGAGCCAUUGGGAUAGGUCCCCAACUGAAUCGAAAUGAACUGAAGAUAAAACAUAGUCUCUCAAAUACAAAAAUUAUUUAAAGAUCGAUCCUCGAACCAUGAGGAAUCACCACUAUAGAAAACGUAGGCAAGGUACUCGAAGAAUCAUGGAUGAGGCUGGGAGUGAACACCUAAACGUACAUUAUAAGACAAUGUAGCACAUAGACAUAUAUAUAAAUCAGUACUUUGGAAUGUACUGAGUAUGCGGGGGUGAAUGCAUAUGUAUAAAAAUAGUACCGAUCUUCUUCAAUCAAAUCAUGUAUGCAAAAUGAGACGACUCACAUGGAUUUAACAAGUAUAAAAUAUAAAGCUCAUAAGUCAUGUAGGAUGGAGCAUGUAACACAAAUCUCAUGAGUCAUCAUUGUUUAAUCUUUAAAAUCAGGAAUCUUCUCUUAUUCUCUAUGCCUAUCUGGUAAGGAACUUUAAACAAUAACUUCAACUCAUGCAUAUGUCUCAUAGAGAGUAAAAACUUCUCUCUCAUAGAGAGUAAAACCUUCUAAAUGCUCAAUAUUACAUAACCAUUUAAAACUCGUAUACUUGGAAAUCGGAAUCAUAUGACUCGGAAAACAUACUUGAAGGUAUUUCAUUCACUUUAGGAAAUUAUCUCAUUUCAAGCUUUAGGUAAAAUCAUGCUAUCUCAAAUGGAAAAGUAUUCUAGCUUAAGGAAAUAACUUAUCUCAAAGUUUUAUGAAAAGUGCCAUAACAAGGGAAGAUGAUUUCAUUUAGGAAAAUAACUCUCAUCAAGAAAAUACCUUAGUUUGGGAAUAUCUUUGCAUUUCAACUAUUUAGGAAAGUAGACUAUAAGAAAGGAAAAUAAGUAUUUGAUCUCGAAGUUUUAAAGGGCAAAGAAGGUUCUCAUAACUGACAUAAACCAUGCGAGCUACAUGGAGUCCAAUGUUUUGUCCCCCUAAGGAAGAGACCUCAUGUUGGGGAGGAGCGUCAUGCUCUUGUCAGAGAGUAUAACCUAGGUCUAGUGAUCACUAAACGAAACUCGGACUCGGGCACAAUCAUAUUCAUUAUAAACUUGGCCUCAGGCCCAACCUACGGUGGCACGUAGUUUUGGGGUAAGAAACCGUAGUGACUUACCCGCUCGGUGCAAAGUAGUACUCCCUUUAGAUUAUCUACACUCAUCACAUAAAAAUCCACUUUUAGAAUAAUAUUGUGGUUCACCACGAACCCAAUAAUCAUAUCGAUAAUCUCAUAUGAUGAAAUGGAUUUUAAAGCUUUCGGACCACUCAAUUCAUUUUUGAAUCAUCUCAAAAUAUUCAAAUCAUGGGUGCUUAUAGCACAAGAGUUCAUAAUUUCACAAGUCUCAAAUAGGUCUUACUAACCCAGAGUUCAAUCUCAAGUUAAAGCUCAUCAAAAGCAUAAUAUGUAAAAUAUAGAUUCAUAAAUCAUGUGGAAAUCUGGGAAUUUCAGCAAUUUAUCUCAAAAUCUCAAUAUAGUCAUAUGCUUCAAUAUCUCAACAUUGCAAAUAUUAGAUUCUCAAGAAGUAAAAUCAUGGGGUUUAUACCCAGCUAUAAAUUCUUAAUAAAACAUGCAGAAAUCAUGUCAUUUAACUCUUAAUUCAUGGGAAAUAUCAAGAUAAUGCAUUGAAUAAUAAUAAUAGGUGAAAAACCCCAAUUCAAAUUCAUGUAAAAACCUCAUAGAUUUUAGGAAAUUCAUGAUGUAAAUAAGCCUUUUGGGAAUAAGGGUGGAAGGGUGAUCCUUGUUCAAAACCCCACAUUCCUUGAAUUAGAAGCUUUGGAUGAACUCUCACUUUUGGAACUCUAUUCGUACUCUUGAAUGACAGUUCUUGAGGCACUUGACUUGGGAACCUUGAAUCUUGACUCCAUUUAGAAAAUCCAUGGUGGAUUCUUGAAAUUCUUGGAAGAGGUUUUGGAUACUUAGGGUUUUUAUGAGAGAAAACUUUAGAAAAACCUCAUAGGAUGCUUGCAAAUGACUUUGAUUUGGUGUUUGCACGGUUUUAUAGGCAUGAAAAAGGUCCAAAAUACCCCUUUUAACAGCUAUACAAAGCUGGAAAAGUUGAAAUGGGAACCCGAUUUAAGGGGUCACCAUGAUGCGCCACUUAUCACGGUGGCUCAUUGGAAUUGACAAUUGGCAAUACGGGAGUCACCGCAAUACGGAGCCAUCGCAUUUUCCCACUGGUUGGGACCUAGAACCUCAGCGCAAUACUCCAAUAUCAUGGAGUUCCACUAGAAUUUGAAAAAUGUCAAAUUGACCCUCUCCGCAACGCGCCAAGCACUGAAAUGACGUAGUUUUACGACUAGGUCUUAAAUUAGCCAUAACUUCUUACCUUGGUAUCAGAUUUGAGCAAAUCUUAUAUCGAUGGAAAUCUUAUCAGAUUUCCCACAUGAUAGAAAGCCAAAAUUAGGGAAAUUCUCUAUGGUUAACACAAUACUGACUUUGGAAUCCACUUCUCAUUCUUUUAGGGCCGAAAUCAUGCCUCACUUUACACACCCUACGGCUCAAACUGCGAGAAAACUUUGUGGGGCCUUCCAAUAUCUUUUCCUUUGGAAUAUUCGUCCUUGAAUGUCACUAAUUAGGCUAGGAAUACAUGAAAAAUAGAAUACACAUAGCUGAAACAAUUACUAAAUGGUUCAAGAUCUUUCUAAACUCAUGAAUACUCCGGAAAAUGUAAGAACUCAUACAAGGAUAGAUACAUAUCUGAACUUUAGAUUAGAAGAGCUGAAUCAAGGAAGAAUAGUACCUUCAGCUUGGUUUGAACCCAUGGAAAAGAGCUGUUGGUACUUGGCUCGCAUGUCUGCUUCUACCUCCUUAGUAGGACUCUCAACAGACUAGUUCCACCAUAAAACUUUGACCAAGGAGACUUCUUUGUUCCUUACUCUAUGGAUUUGAAAAUCUAGGAUCUCCACGGGAAUCUCAUCGAACGAAAGCCUAUCCUAAAUAUCAACACUUUUUGAAGGAUCAACCACAACAGAAUCACCUAUAUGCCUCUUAAGCAUGGAGACAUGAAAGAGAGGAUGAACAACGGAUAACUCCAAGGGAAACUAAACCUCGUAGGCCACUUCACCAACACGGCUCAAGACUCGGUACGGGCCAACAUAACGGGGGCUAACCUUUUCCUUCUUACCAAACCUCUUCACCCCUUUUAUGGGUAAAAUCUUUAAGUAUACCAAAUCACCCACCCCAAACUGAAGAUCUCUCCUCCUCACAUCUACAUAAGAUUUUUGAUGACUCUGAUCUGUAACGCCCCAAAAAAUGAGUCCCAGAGUGUCACACAGUGCUUGAGGCUACGAGUAGCCCCAAGCUAACCCUUUGAGACAUUUUCAUUCAGUUCAACACAAAUCUAUAGGGUUUUCAUAAAUAACCCUUAAAUAUCAACAAAGUAAUCAUCAUCGAAGAAUAAAAGAAUUUCAGAAAGAUAACAAAAUAUGACUUAUUAGUCAACUUCCAACAUCUAUACUAGUCUGAUAAGCCUCUACAAAAAUCAAUAAAACCAGCAAGCCAUUGAGACAUGCCCCAACAGACUCAUACUUAGUUAUCAAAUGUAAACAAUUUCGUAAAACCAAUAUCAGACAUCACGUCCUCAGAACAUGAGGACUCACCACAAUAGAGGAUAUAUAACAUCAUGCCUGAAGAAUCACAGUCAAACCUGGAACUGAGCACUUGAACCUACAUUUUGAGAAAAUUCAGCCCACAUCCGAAGAUGUGGGUCAGCACCAUGGAAGAAAACACACAGAGACUGGGAGAUCCUAUAACCAAAAUAAACCAUGUGAGCUACAUGGAGUCCAACGUACAACCCACGUUGGGGAGAGCCGUCCUAUCCUUGCCAUUAGAGUAGGACUAUCGAUAUCAAAUCCACAUAAACUAGUGAUCACUAUAUAAAUUAGCCUCAGUCUCACUCCUACAGGGGCACGUAGUUCUAGAGAAGUAAGGUCACUUUAUACCUCCCACUCGGUGCUAAAGAUUUCUCCCGAUCUUAGCUUAGAUCAUUUCAAAGACAAUCCACAAUAAAACAAUUUUAGUAAUAUGUAAAUAUACAUCGAGAGCCAUCAUGCUUCCCAUCUAUCAAAAUCAACCACGUUGUGGAUUUCUUUCACACUCGAGUUCAAAACAACUCUACUAAGACCAAAAGGUCAAAUCAUUCAAAAUAUAUCAAAUAUUCAACAUCAACGUGCUUAUAACACACUCUCUAAAAAAUAGAAUUUCCAAUAGGGAUUCAUGACCCCAAUAUGAAAAUCAUGAUAAAUAUCGUUCAAGAUUCAUGCUUUAUAUCUCCACACAUGUAAAUUCAUUUUUCAAAAUCAUAAACAUCAAGAUUUCAUAAUAAUCAUCAUAAGAUAUGGUUUCAUGCUUCAAAUUCGUAAAAAUCAAAUAAAAAUCAUGCCUUUGUAAAGAAAAUUACUUUUGGGCACAAGAAUGAAAAAGAGUUCUUGUUGAAAAACACCACAUACCUUGAAUGAUGAACUUUAGAUCGAUACUCAUUUUUGAGAUGUUAAUCGUUCCUUUGAAUGAUGGUUCGUGGAGUUCUUGAACUAGGAACUUGGAAUCUUGAAUAAAUUUGCAGAAUUAAUGGUGAACUUUGGAGGUUCUUGAAGUUGGGUAUAGGAGCUUAGGGUUUUCUUUUUGAGGGAAUUUGAUGAAAUAUUACAUAUAAUGCUUCUAAUAGGCUUUGAUAUAGGGUUUGGAUAGAUUUUAGGUGAGGGGGAAUGACCAAAACGCCCCUAAAAAUCAAAUAAUUCUCGAAUCUAUCCUUUGGUGGACUGUUUUGAUAGUCUGAAGUAGAUCAACCAUAACGUCUUACUCCGAUAUCCAAAUUGGAUGAAACAAAUUUCAUUAGAAAUAAAACUCUCAUAUAUUUCCGUUGAUAUAUAUAGUAUCUCACGCAGAUCAUUGUUUACAAAGAGUUAUGAUCAUUUGAAGUUGACCUGAAAAUUCACUUUUGUUAGGCUGAAGUAGAUCGGCCAUAACUUUUUGCUCUGAUAGAAAAAUUUGAUGAAACUAAUUUCAUUGGAAAGAGGACUCACAGAGCUUUCCGUUGAUAUACAGUAGAUCACCCAGAUCAUUAUGUACAAGGAGUUAUGAUCUUUUAAAGUUGGAGCACAAAUACGUCAGGCCUCAGUACUUUUUCCUCCACAUUUUACUAUUCACGAUUCGAUCGGAAUUUUCAUAACUCGUCGCUCGGGUGUCCGUUUUGGAUGAUCCACAUAUCGUUGGAAAUAUUAUUUGAUACUCUAUGUAAUGUUGGAUCAUAAUCCAAGACAUUCCGCAUGAAAAAUUUAUAAUUCAUUCUAGAAGAUAGAACUCAACACGUUUAUGUACAAAAUUUCAAUGAAAAAUUUCCCGGGGUAUUACAUCAUCCCCCCCUUGAAAAUAUUCAUCCUCGAAUGAUGCUAGACAUGCCAAGAUUAGAUAGGGAAUAGAGCAUACAGCUGAAACCAUUCGUUAGACUCAUCACCAUAUCGUUUCUCACUCCGAAUCCAACAUAGAAUGCAUAAAUUCAAGAAACUACAACUGAACACAUAAUAAAUGAUAGCUGAACUAUUGUAACUUUUAUCAAAAGUGCAUGAUUUAGGAAAGAACGAUACGUUCGGCUUGAUCGGAGUUCACAGAAAAUAGGUGCGGGUACUUGGAUCGGAUAUCCGCCUCAGCUUCCCAAGUUGCACCCUCAACAGAUUGGUUUCACCACAACACCUUGACCAAGGGAACUUCUUUGUUCCUUAGUCUUCGGUCACUGAAAUCAAGAAUCUCAACAGGAAUCUCAUCAAAAGAAAGAUUUUAGCUCCCUUACCAACACGGCUAAGAAUUUUGUAUGGACCAACAUAACGGGGACUAAUCUUCCCCUUCUUUCCAAAUCUCUUCAUCCCCCUCAUGGGUGAAAUUUUCAGAUACACUAGGUCACCAACUUCAAACUCAAGGUCUCUUCUUCUAACAUCCGCAUAUGACUUCUGACGACUCGGCGCAAUUUUCAACCUUUUCCUAAUCAACUUAACUUUUUCCAUAGCCUCAAAUACCGAAUCAGGACCAGUCACAGCCGCUUCAUCCACAUCGAAUCAACCUAUGGGUGAUCUACAUUUCCUCCCAUAUAAGGCUUCAAUGGAGCCAUGCCAAUACUAGAGUGGAAACUGUUAUUGUAAGCAAACUCUAUCAACGGUAAGUGAUCAUCCCAACUUCCCUUAAAGUCAAGUGCACAAGCUCUCAACAUAACCUCUACGUUCUGGAUAGUCCGCUCAGCCUGACCAUCGAUCUGCAGAUGAAAAGCAGAACUCAAAAUCACAUGGGUACCAAGAACCUUCUGAAAAGCUUUCCAAAAUUACGAAGUGAACUGAGUACCCCUAUCCAAAAUGAUAAACAAGGGAACUCCAUGCAGUGUGACUAGCUCUUGAAUAUACAAUCUAGCGUAAUCCUCAGUAGUAUAUGAAGUAUGAACAAGCAAGAAAUGAGAAGACUUAGUCAACCUAUCAUCCACAACCCAAUGAAUCAUGAUGACAUCGGAAAGGAGGUAAACCAAUCACGAAGUCCAUAUUUAUCUCUUCCCACUUCUAGGUGGGAAUACUAAACUCUUGCAUCAUACCACCAGGUCCUUGGUGUUCAACCUUAACCUGUUAGCAUGUUGUACACGUAGCUACAAACGCUGCUAUAUCUUUGUUCAUGACACUCCACCAAUAGAUUUCCCGCAAGUCUUGGUACAUCUUGGUGGCACCAAGAUUAAUAGAAUAUCGCGCCCCGUGCACUUCAUCCAUAAUCCUCUGUCUCAGAUCAUCAACAUUCGGGACACACAAUCUACCCUGCAAUCUCAACNNNNNNNNNNNNNNNNNNNNNNNNNNNNNNNNNNNNNNNNNNNNNNNNNNNNNNNNNNNNNNNNNNNNNNNNNNNNNNNNNNNNNNNNNNNNNNNNNNNNNNNNNNNNNNNNNNNNNNNNNNNNNNNNNNNNNNNNNNNNNNNNNNNNNNNNNNNNNNNNNNNNNNNNNNNNNNNNNNAACAUGGACACCAUACAAAUAGUGUCUCCAGAUUUUCAAAGCAAACACAACAAUAGCCAACUCAAGCUCAUGGGUAGGGUAAUUUUUCUCAUGGGGUUUCAACUGUCUAGAAGCAUAAGUUAUCACCUUACCCUUCUGCAUCAAUAUGCAACCCAAACCAACCCUCGAAGCAUCACAGUACACCACAAAACCAUCAACACCAUCAGGCAAAGUCAAAACAGGGGUUGAAGUGAAUCGAGUCUUCAACUCCUGAAAAAUCUUCUCACAAGAUUCGGACCACAAGAACUUCACUUUUUUUUUGGUUCAACCGAGUCAUAAGUGACACUAUAGAGGAGAAACCCUUAACAAAACGGCAGUAAUAGCCAGGUAAACCCAAGAAACUUUGGAUAUCAGUCAGAGAAAUAGGUCUAGGCCAAUUUCUAACAGCUUUGGUCUUUUAGGGAUCAACUCUAAUACCCUCGGAAGAAAUGAUAUGACCCAGAAAAGCAACUGACCUUAGCCAAAACCCACACUUACUGAACUUGGCAAACAAAUUAUGAUCUCUAAGGGUUUGCAAGACAGUUCGGAGAUGAUCAGAAUGUUCAUCCUCACUACGGGAGUACACCAGUAUAUCAUCGAUGAACACUAUGACAAACAUAUCUAGAUAUGGUCUGAACACUCAAUUCAAGUUGUUCAUGAAAGCUGUUGGGGCAUUGUUAACCCAAAAGACAUAACAAAAAACUCAAAAUGUCCAUAACGAGUUCGAAAAAUGGUUUUCGGGAUGUCACACUCCCUAACUUUGAGUUGAUGAUAGCCAAAACAAAGGUCUAUCUUUGAGAAAUAACUUACACCUUACAAUUGGUCAAAUAAAUAAUCUAUUCUCGGAAUGGGGUACUUAUUUUUUAUGGUGACUUUAUUCAGUUGGCGGUAAUUAAUGCACAUACGCAAAGAGCCAUCUUUCUUUCUUACAAAUAACAUAGGAGCACCCCAAAGAGAAACACUGGGCCUUAUAAAACCCUUAUCUAGUAGAUCUUUGAGUUGCUCUUUCAACUCAUUAAGUUCUGCAGGGGCCAUAUGGUAAGGAGGAAUAGAAAUAGGCUGAGUAUCGAGAAAAAAAUCAAUCCCAAACUCUAUUUCUCUAUCAGGAGGUAUACCUAGGAGAUCAUCCAGAAAGACAUCAGAAAACUCAUUGACGACGUUAACAGACUGGAGAAUUGGAGUCUCAAACUUUGUGUCUUUGACUAUAACCAAAUGGUAAAUACACCCCUUGGAAAUAAGCUUUCUAGCUUUGAUGUAAGAGAUAAAAUGACUCUUGGGUGACACAGAAUUCCCAGACAACUCAAACACGGAUGCACCCAAAAACUGAAACUUGACCACUCUAGUCCGAUAAUCAAUAAAGGCAUAAGAAGAAUACAGCCAAUCCAUACCCAAAAUCACAUCCAAAUCUACCAUGUCUAACUCAAUCAAAUCAGCCAACAAGACUCUAUGAAGAACGAUAACAGGACACUUUUUAUACACUUUCUGGGCAACAAUCGAAUCACCCACUGAGGUAGAAACUAGGAUAGGUUCAGGAAUAGUCUCAGGACUCAUUUCAAAAUUCACAGCAAUUAAAGGUGUAACAUAUGAGAAACUGGAUCCAGGAUCCAACAAAGCAUACAUAUCAAACUAAAAUAUACGAAGCAUAGCAAUAAAAACAUCGAGAGAGUCCUUCUAUUCCUGGUGGGACGAUAAAGCAUUCUAGCACUGCCCGCCAGCAUUCUUAGAAGAGGCGCCCUGAGCUGGGGCUAGGAGAGUCACUGGAACUGAAGCACUAACAGUCUGAAUCUAGGUCUGAGAGCAAUAGUCACGAUGCCCUUGUCCAUCCUGUGAACAAUCUCUAACACUGUGACCCAUGUUACCACAUCGGAAAUAACCUCUCUUCUCACCCCAACACUCACCCGAAUGAGCCUUACCACACUUAGGACACAGGGGAUGAUUUGUCUUACUGCUAGCACUGUACUGGGACCUGGAUGCAUAUGACCUGCUACCUUGAUCCUGCCUACCUAUAGGCACGGGAGCACUAGCAGAAAAUGGUGCUAGCAUAGGCCAACGAUCAUGAUACUGAGGGUGACUCCCUUCCUGCGAUCUAGUCUGACCCUGUCCGUGCUGCUCGGACCUAGCUCUCUUAUUCCCUCAUAUUCUAUCUCUCUCCUUAAUCUUGUCUGCCUCAAUCUGUUGGGCAUGAGUCAUCAGCCUAUUAAGAUUCAUCUCACUAUUCAGCAUAGCAGACCUACACUCCUUAACCAUAUAACUAAACACUCCAGUCACAAACUUACUCAUACUAGCCCGAUUAUCAGCCACUAAGUGAGGGGCAUACUUGGCCAAUUGAUUAAACUUUAGAUAGUACUCCCUAAUAGUCAUAUAGCCCUGCCGCAAGUUCAUAAACUCUUCCACCUUCGCCUCUCUUAUCUCCAAAGGGAAAAACUUAUCCAAGAAUGCAUCCUGGAACACUUGCCAAGUUGUAGGGACAACUCCCUCUCCUCUAUCUUUUCUUCAAGCAACAACCCAGUCAUAAGCAAGGUCUUUCAAACUAUACGCAGCCAACUCCACACUAUGUUUCUCAGAUACAGGCAUCACCUGAGUAAUCUUCUGUACCUUCUCUAAAAACAAAUAUGGAUCCUCAUCAGACUUGGACCUAUAGAAUUCCAGAGAAUUCAUCCACAUGAAGUCAUGGAUCCUAGCAGUAGCUGAAUUAUCUCCCUACUACUGUGGAGCCGGGGCUGGGUUGGCUUGAAUAUUUGCAGUAACAACUUGGGCCAGUGCCUAAAAGGCUGCCCGAAAUUCAGCAUGAGACACAUUUUCAUUCAAUGGGUCAGCGAGUUGAGGUUGCUGACCAUCAUUAUUUCUUCUCGCUCGACGUGGAGGCAUAUUUUUGAAAGAGGAAAGCAUGAAUCAAUAGCAAAGAGAGACACUUUAAGAACGAUAUACUUCUGAAAGAAAGAAUCACACUUUUUCCUAAAACGUCUUGUAGCCUCUUGUUCAUAGAUGUGGCGCACUACACAUCGAUGAUCAAGACUCUACUUAACGCGGCUUGUCAGACUUCCUAGGAUACCUUAAAACCUUAGGCUCUAAUACCAUGUUUGUAACGACCCAGAAAAUGGGCGUCGGAAUGUCACAUAGUGCUUGAGGCUACGAGUAUCCCCAAGCUAACCCUUUGAGCCAUUUUCAUUCUGUUCAACACAAAUCAAUGGGGUUUCCAUAAAUAAGCCUCAAAUAUCAAUAGAGUAAUCAUCAUCCAAGAAUAAAAUAAUUUCAGAAAGAUAAUAAAAUACGACUUAUUAGCCAACUCCCAACAUCUAUACUAGUCUGACAAGCCUCUAAGAAAAUCAAUAAAACCAGCGAGCCAUUGAGACAUGCCCCAACUAACUCAUACUCAGUUAUUAAAUAUAAAAAAUUCCGUGAAACCAACAUCAGACAUCACAUCCUCGGAAUAUGAGGACUCACCACAAUAGAGGAUGUAGAACAGCAUGCCCGAAGAAUCACUGUCGAACCUGGAAUAGAGCACCUGAACCUACAUUCCAAGAAAAUGCAGCCCACAUCUGAAGAUGUGGGUAAGUACCAUGGAAAGGAACCGAGUAUAUGGGGGUGUAUGCAGUUUUAUAAACAUUAUCAUCAUAAAUAUUUAUAAGAAAUAUGCAGGAUGUAUGAAAAACUCACAUAGCCUUAAGAAAAUCAUCAUAGUCAUGAGAGGAUAAAAUAAGUACAAUAACAUAUGUGAGUCAUCAUAUAAUUUGUCAAUCACUUUCAGUUCAUCAAGAAUAUCAAUUCUCAUAAUGUAAAUAUCAUUUAAAUCUUUUGAAAGAAUAACUUUCACAAUUCGGGUAAGUACCAUGGAAAGGAACCGAGUAUAUGGGGGUGUAUGCAGUUUUAUAAACAUUAUCAUCAUAAAUAUUUAUAAGAAAUAUGCAGGAUGUAUGAAAAACUCACAUAGCCUUAAGAAAAUCAUCAUAGUCAUGAGAGGAUAAAAUAAGUACAAUAACAUAUGUGAGUCAUCAUAUAAUUUGUCAAUCACUUUCAGUUCAUCAAGAAUAUCAAUUCUCACAAUGUAAAUAUCAUUUCAAUAUUUCAAAAGAAUAACUUUCACAAUUCCAAUUUCAAACCACUUCACCAUUCACCAUAGACACAAGGAAACACACACACACUAGGAGAUCCUAUAAACAACAUAAAAUAUGUGUGCUACAUGGAGUCCAAAGUACAACCCAUGUUGGGGAGAGCCGUCCUAUCCUUGCCAUCGGAGUGGGACUAUCGAUAUCAAAUCCACAUAAACUAGUGAUCAGUAUAUAAAUCAACCUCAAGCUCACUCCUAUGGGGGCAUGUAUUUCUAGGGAAGUAAGGUCGCUUUAUACCUCCCACUCGGUGCUAAAGAUUUCUCCUGGACUUAGCUCAGAUCAUUUCAAAGACAAUCCACAACAAAAUAAUUUCAGUAAUAUAUAAAUAUACAUCUGGAGCCAUCAUGCUUCCCAAACCACACAUGUAAAUUCAUCUUUCAAAAUCAUAAACAUCAAUAUUUCAUAAUAAUUAUCAUAAGAUAUGGUUUCAUGCUUCAAAUUCGUAAAAAUCAAAUAAAAAUCAUGCCUUUGUAUAGAAAAUUACUUUUGGGCACAAGAACAAAAGAGAUUUCUUGUUGAAAAAACCCACAUACCUUGAAUGAUGAACUUUAGAUCGAUACUCGUUUUUGAGAAGUUAAUCGUGCCUUUGAAUGAUUGUUCUAGGAGUUUUUGAACUAGGAACUUGGAAUCUUGAAUAAAUUUGCAGAAUUAAUGGGGAACUUUGGAGGUUCUUGAAGUUGGAUGUAGGAGCUUAGGGUUUUCUUUUUGAGGGAAUUUGAUGAAAUAUAACAUAUAAUGCUUCUAAUAGGCUUUGAUAUAGGGUUUGGAUAGAUUUCGGGUGAGGGGGGAUGAUCAAAACGCCAAUAAAAAUCAUAUAAUUCUCGAAUCUAUCCUUUGGUGGACUGUUUUGAUAGUCUGAAGUAGAUCAACCAUAACGUUUUACUCCAACAUCCAAAUUGGAUGAAACCAAUUUCAUUAGAAAGAGGACUCUCAUAUAUUUUCAUUGAUAUAUAGUAUCUCACCCAGAUCAUUGUGUACGAGGAAUUAUGAUCGUUUGAAGUUGACCCAAAAAUUUAUUUUUGAUAGCCUAAAGUAGAUCGACCAUAACUUUUUGCUCCGAUAGACAAAUUGGAUGAAACCAAUUUCAUUGGAAAGAGGACUCGCAGAUCUUUCCAUUGAUAUAUAGUAGAUCACCCAGAUCAUUAUCUACAAGGAGUUAUGAUCAUUUAAAAUUGGAGGAAAAAUACGCUAGGCCUCAGUACUUUUUCCUACACGUUUUACCAUUCACUACUAUUCACGGUUCGAUCGGAAUGUUCAUAAUUCAUCGCUCGGUUGUACGUUUUGGAUGAUCCACAUAUAUUUGGAAAGAUUAUUCAAUACUCUACACAAUGGUAUUUCAUAAUCUAAGACAUUACGCAUGGAAAAUUUAUAAUUCAUUCUAGAAGAUAGAACCCAACAAGUUUACGCACAAAAUUUCAAUGAAAAAUUUCCCGGGGUAUUACAUGAGCAGUCUUCAACCUUUCUCUAAUAAACUUAACUUUUUCCAUAGCUUCAAACACUGCAUCAAGCCCACACGUGGCAGCUUUACCUAUUUCAAACCAACCUAUGGGUGGUCUAUAUCUCUUACCAUACAAAGCCACAAAUGGUGCCAUCUCAAGGCUAGCAUGGAAACUAUUGUUAUAGGCAAACUCUAUCAUUGGCAAAUGCUCAUCCAAACUACCUUUGAAAUCAAGAGCACACGUCAUUAAUAUAUCCUCUAGGAUAUGAAUGGUCCUCUCAGCCUGACCAUCUGUCUGCGGAUGAAAUGCGGAACUCAAAAGAACUUGGGUGCCAGGACCCUACUGAAAUAUCCUCCAAAACGGAGAAGUAAAUUGAGUACCCAUAUCUGAAAUUAUAGAUCAAGGAGCUCCAUGCAGCCUGACCAACUCUCGGAUAUAUAAUUUAGCAUAAUCCUCAGCUGUAUAAGAUGUAUAAACUGGCAGGAAAUAUACAGAGUUAGUCAACCUAUCCACAACAACCCAAAUGGAAUCAUGAUGACAGUACAAAAGAGGCAACCCGAUCACGAAGUCCAUAUUCACCAUCUCCCACUUCCAAGUGGGUAUACUAAACUCUUGCAUCACACCACCUGGUCUUUAUUGUUCUACCUAAACCUAUUGACACGUUGUAUACUUUGCUACAAACUCAGCUAUGUCCUUCUUCAUACCAUUCCACCAAUAGAUUUCCUGCAAGUCGCGGUACAUCUUGGUAGUGCCUGGAUGAAUAGAAUAACGUACGCCAUGCGCUUCACCCAUAAUUCUCUACCGUAAGUCAUCAACACAUGAGACACAUAACCUACCAUGCAAUCUUUACACACCAUCUCCUCCUUGGGAGAAAACCUUUACAUUUUGGUCCUUAACUGACUCCUUCAAUUUGACCAAACUAGGAUCCCUAUCUUGCUUCUCCUUCACUUCUGAAACUAAAGAGGAUUCGGAACUACUCUGCACCAACGUACUCCCUUCCACUAAAUCAAGCAAUCUAACACCCAACCUGGCCAGACAAUGCACAUCAUGAGCUAACUCUCUUUUACCUUCCUCUAUAUAUGCAACACUACCCAUGGACAAUCUGCUAAGGGCAUCCGCCACUAUAUUGGCCUUGCCCAGGUGAUACAACACACUCAUAUCAUAAUCUUUCAACAACUCUAACCACCUCCUCUGCCUAAGAUUCAACUUUUUCUAGGUAAACACAUACUGCAAGCUCUUAUGAUCGAUAAACAAAUCAACAUGGACACCAUAAAGAUAGUGUCUCCAAAUUUUCAAAGCAAAGACCACAACAGCUAACUCAAGAUCAUGGGUGGGGUAGUUAUUACCAUACGGCUUCAACUGUCUAGAGGCAUAGGCUAUAACAUUAUCUCUUUGCAUCAACACACAACCCAAACUUACUCUAGAGGUAUCAUAAUACACCACAAAACCAUCAGUACCAUCACGCAAAUUCAACACAGGGCUUAAGUGAGUCGAGUCUUCAACUCUUGAAAACUUUUCUCACAGGAAUUAGAUCACUAGAAUUUAACUUUCUUUUGGGUCAACCGGGUCAUAGAAGACGCAGCAAAAGAGAAACCCUCAACAAAACGAUGCUAAUAGGCCACGAGACCUAAGAAGCUCCUAAUAUCAGAUGGAGAAAUAGGUCUAGGCUAAUUUCUAAUGGCUUCUAUCUUUUAGGGAUCAACUCUAAUACCCUCGGCUGAAACAACAUGACCCAAAAAGGCUAUAGACCCUAGCCAAAAAUCACACUUACUGAAUUUGGCAAACAACGAGUGAUCUCUAAGAGUUUGCAAGACAAUUCUAAGAUGAGCUGCAUGGUCUUUCUCAUCACGGGAAUACAUAAGGAUAUAAUCUAUGAAUACAAUGACAAACAUAUCAAGGUACUGCUUGAACACACGAUUCAUGACAUCCAUAAAGGUUUUUGGGGCAUUGGUUAGCCCAAAAGAUAAGACUAGAAACUCAAAGUGAACAUAACGGGUCCGGAAGGUUGUCUUUAGAAUAUCACAUUCCCUCACCUUAAGUUAAUGAUAGCCGAAUCUAUGGUCUAUCUUGGAGAAAUAAUUUACACCUUGAAACUGAUCAAACAGGUCAUCAAUUCUCAAAAGAGAAUACUUAUGUUUGACUGUGACCUUUUACAGUUGACGGUAGUCAAUGCACAUACGCAAAGCUUUAUUUUUCUUUUGUAGGAAUAAAAUGGGUGCACCCCAAGGAAAAAUAUCAGGUCUAAUGAAACAUUUGUCUAAGAGAUCUUUAAGUUUCUCCUUCAACUCCUUAAGCUCUGCAGGUGCCAUACGGUAUGGCAAAAUGGAAAUAGGCCAAGUGUUGAGAAGAAGGUUAAUUCCAAACUCUAUCUCUCUAUCGGGAGGUACCCUUGGGAGAUCUUCUGAAAAAGCAUUGGGGAACUCAAUAAUAAUAUCUACCGACUGGAUAGUUGGAGUCUCGGACUUAGUGUCCUCGACUCUAACUAAGUGAUAGAUGCAACCUUUGGAUAUAAGCUUUCUGGUUUUGAUAUAGGAGAUAAAAUAACUCUUGGGAGAUACCUAUCUCCUGGACCACUCAAAUACUAGCUCACCAGGGAAUUGAAACUUGACCACACGGGUACGACAAUCUAUAGAUACAUAACAAGAAUAAAGCCAAUCCAUACCCAGAAUAAGGUCAAAAUCCACUAUGUCUAACUCUAUCAAAUCUGCAAGUAUGACUCCAUGAGACACAGUAACAAGGUAAUUUCUAUAUACUUGUUUAGCAACAAUAGACUCCCCUACUGGUGUAGAAACUAGGAAAGGCUCAAAAAUCUUUUCGGGACUCAUUUGGUAAUUCACAGCAACAAGUGGUGUCACAUAAGAGAGAUUUGACCCGGGAUGUAACAACACAUAAACAUCAAGACAGAAGACACAGAGCAUACCAGUAAUAACAUUAGGGGAAUUCUCCUACUCCUGAUGGGAUGGUAAGGCAUAGAAUCUAUUCUGGCGUUGACCACCAGUAGUACUAGAAGAAAUGCAUAGAGCAGGGGCGGGACAAAGUACCGGAGCUAGUGCACUAGCAGCCUAUGCUUGAGGUCGGCCAUCUCUGUUCCCCUGUCUAGAAUGGGGGCAAUAUCUAAGUCUGUGGCCCUACUUGCCACAACCAAAGGAACCCCUCAAAUCUCUGAAACACUCCUCAAGGUGAUUCCUACCACCCUUAGCAUAAUAAGGAUAACGAGGUCUGUUGCCAACACUGUUCUACGAUCCGGACAUGAAAGGUCUACUCCCUUGCUCCUACCUGUAUCUAGGCGCGGGAGCACUAGCUAAUGAAGGAACAGGAACCGAUGGAUGUCUUUGAAAUUUUGGGUGGCUUCCUUCAUGGAAACUAGGCCAACUUUACUCAUGUUGUCAGAUCUAGCCUUUUUGUUACCCUUCAUUCUUUCUCUCUCUCUCUAAGCUUAUCCGUCUCUAUCUGUUAGGAAUGUAUCAUCAACCUAGCCAGAUCCAUAUCCUUAUGCAAUAUCGCAACCCUACACUUAUUCAGUACCAUCCUAGAAACACUGGUCACAAACUUACUCAUACUAGCCCGGGUGUCAAAAAUCAAAUCAGGAGCGUACUUGGCCAACUGAUUAAACUUCAAGUAGUACUCCUUAACAAUCAUGGAGCCUUGCCUCAAGUUCAUGAACUCCUAAAUCCUUGCCUCCCUCAUUUCAAGUAGAAAGAACUGGUCCAAGAAGGCAUCUUAGAACACUUGCCAAGUCAUAGAAGCGGCAUUCUCACCUCUACCCUUCUUCCAUGAUACAACCCAAUCAUAAGCAAUGUCCUUCAGUCUAUAGGAUGCCAAAUUAACACUUUCUUCUUCUGAAAUAUGCAUCAUAUCAGUAAUCUUCCUCACCUUCUCUAAGUACAAUUAUGGGUCCAAGACGGAAAAGGACCCAUAGAACUCAGGCAGAUUUAUCUAUAUAAAGACACAAUCCUAACCGUGGCUACAUGACUACCCUGGUAAUUAGAAACUGGGGCCUGGUUAUUGGCCUAAACAUUUGCGGUGACUGCUUGGGCUAGUGCCUGAAAGGCCGCCUUAAACUCAGCAUGGGACACCGUUUCAUUCAAAGGAUCAAUAGGUGGGGGUGGCUCAUCAUUGUUUCCACGGACAUUAGCUCUUCAAUGAGGCAUUUUCUGAGAAUGAAAGAGCACGGAUCAUUCGAUAAGAGGGAUAACUGUAGGCACGAUAGAAUCUGAAAGAAGAAAUAAUUUUUCCUAGAACGUCUCCUAGGCUCUUGCACAUAGAUGUGGUGCGCUACACACCGAUUAUCAAGACUCUACUUAUAGCGGCUUGUCAUAGUCCUUAGGACUCCUUAAAAAUCAUAGGCUCUGACACCAAGUUUGUAAUGACCCAAAAUCACCUUCUGGGACGUCACACAGUGCUUAAGGCUACAAGUAGACCCAAGCUAAUCCUUAGAGCUGGUUUCUACAAACAACACUCAAUUAAAGAUAAAAUAGACUUAAGCACUCACAUAAUCAUAUCACGUGAAAGGAAAUAUGGAAAGAUACUCGGUCCAUAUUACCAAAAUAUAGAGAAACCUCAACAAAACCACAAUAUCGAAAACCUCGACACAUCACAAGUACGAUACUAGUCUGACAAAAUCUCUACGAAUUGAAAAAUAGAGAGCUGUUGGUACAGGUCCAAAACUGACUCAAAAUGAAAUGAAGAUGAAACAUAGUCUCUGAAAUACAAAAAAUAUCUGAAGAUCGAUCCUUGAACCAUAAAGACUCACCACUAUAGAAAAUAUAGGCAAGGUACUCAAAGAAUCAUGAAUAAGGCUGGGACUGAGCACCUGAGCCUACAUUAUAAGAGAAUGUAGCACAUAGACAUAUAUGUGAAUCAGUACUUUGGAAUGUACUGAGUAUACGGGGGUGAAUGCAUAUGUAUAAAAAUAGUAUCGAUCUUCUUCAAUCAAAUCAUGUAUGCAAAAUGUGAGAACUCAGAUGGACUGAACAAGUAUAAAAUAUAAAGAUCAUAAGUGAUGUAGGAUGGAGCAUAUAACACAAAUCUCAUGAGUCAUCAUUGUUUAAUCUUUAAAAUCAAAAAUCUUCUCUUAUUCUCAACGCCCAUCAGGUAAGGAACUUUAAACAAUAACUUCAACUCAUGCAUAUGUCUCAUGGAGAGUAAAACCUUCUUAAUGCUCAAUAUUUCAUAACAAUUUAGAACUCAUAUACUUGGAAAUCGGAAUCAUAUGACUGGAAAAACAUAGUUGAAGGUAUUUUAUUCACUUUAGGAAAUUAUCUCAUUUCAAGCUUUAGGUAAAAUCAUGCAAUCUCAAAUGGAAAAGUAUUCUAGCUUAAGGAAAUAACUUAUCUCAAAGCUUUAUGAAAAGUACCAUAACAAGGGAAGAUGCUUUCAUGUAGGAAAAUAACUCUCAUCAAGAAAAUACCUUGGUUUGGGAACAUUUUUGCAUUUCAACCAUUUAGGAAAGUAGACUAUAAGAAAAUAAAAUAAGUAUUUGAUCUCUAAGUUUUAAACGGCAAGGGAGGUUCUCAUAACUAACAUAAACCAUGCGAGCUACAUGGUUUCCAAUGUUUAUCCUCUUAAGAAAGAGACCUCAUAUUGGGGAGGAGCGUCAUACUAUUGCCAGGAAGUACAACCUAGGUCUAGUGAUCACUAAACGAAACUCGACUUUGGGCCCAAUUAUAAUCAUCAUAAACUCAGCCUCAGGCCCAACCUUUGGUGGAACGUAGUUUUGGGGUAAGAAACCGUAGUGACUUACCCGCUUGGUGCUAAGUACUACUCCCUUUAGAUUAUCUGCGCUCAUCUCACAAAAAUUCACUUUUAGAAUAAUCUCAUGGUUCACCACAAACCCAAUAAUCAAAUCGAUAAUCUCAUAUGAUGAAGUGGAUUUCAAAGCUUUUGGACCAUUAGGUCAAUUCAUUUCUCAAUCAUCUCAAAAUACUCAAAUCAUGGGUGCUUAUAGCAUAAGAGUUCAUAAUUUUACAAGUCUCAAAUAGGGCUUACUAACCCAUAGUUCAAUCUCAAGUUAAAGCUCAUCAAAAGCAUAAUAUAUAGCAUAUAUAUUCAUAAAUCAUGUGGAAAUCUGGGAAUUUCAGCAAUUUAUCUUAAAAUCUCAAUAUAGUUAUAUGCUUCAAUAUCUCAACAUUGCAAAUAUGAGUUUAUCAAUGAGUAAAAUCAUGGGGUUUAUAUCCAGCUGUAAAUUCUCAAUAAAACAUGCAAAAAUUAUGCCAUUUGACUCUUAAUUCAUAGGAAAUAUCAAGAUAAUGCAUUUAAUAAUAAUGGGUGAAAAAACACAAUUCAAAUUUAUGUAAAAACCUCAUAGAUUUUAGGAAAUUAAUGAUGUAAAUAAGUCUUUUAGGAACAAGGAUGAAAGGGUUACCCUUGUUCAAAACCCCACAUGCCUUGAAUUAGAAGCUUUGGAUGAACUCUCACUUUUGGAAAUCUAUUCGUACUCUUAAAUGAGGGUUCUUGAGGCCCUUGACUUGGGAACCUUGAAUCUGACUCAAUUUAGAAAAUCCAUGGUGGAUUUUUGAGAUUCUUGGAAAAGGUUUUGGAUACUUAGGGUUUUUUAUGAGAGAAAACUCGAGAAAAACCUCAUAGGAUGCUUACAAAUGACUUUGAUUUGGUGUUUGCACGGUUUUAUAUGCUUGGAAAAAGUCCAAAAUGCCCCUUUUAAUAUCUAUACAAAUCUGAAAAAUUGAACUAGGAACCCAAAUUAAGGGGUCACCGCGAUGCGCCACUUAUCGCGGUGGCUUACUGGAAUUGACAAUUGGCAAUAUAGGAGUCACCGCGACUCAGAGCCAUCACAUUUUCCCACUAGUUGGGACUUGGAACCUCAGUGCAAUGCACAAAUAUCAUGGAUUUCCACUGGAAUUUUACAAUUGUCAAAUCUACCCUCUCCGUGACACGCCAAGCACUAAAAUGACACAGUUUUACAACUAGGUCUUAAAUUAGUCAUAAUUUCUUACCCGGGUAUUGGAUUUGGAAAAAUAUUAUAUCGAUGGAAAGCUUAUUAGAUUUCCCAUGUGAUAGAAAGUCAAAAUUAGUGAAAUUCUAUAUGGUUAACAUGAUACUCACUUAGGAAGCCACUUCUCAAUCUUUUAAGGCCGAAAUCAUGCCUCACUUGGCACGCCCUACGGCUCAAACUACAAGUGAACUUUGCGUGGACUUACAAAAACCCUAUUACUGAUACUUUCUUCUAAUUAGAACUCUUGACUUUCUAUAUCCCUAAUAUUUAUCAUACAACAACUUAAACAUAAACUAACUUAGAAUUUUCAACUCUUCAGUCUAUUAGCUGAACUUUCAAAGAUUCAAACUUAGAUUCUAACACUUAACAUCGAUAUCCCCACACCUUUAAUGAAAGAUAAUAACUUCCUUCAUAAACUAAUAAUAUCAUAUCUCUAAAUCAUAAUCACACCAUCAUACUUAAUUAUAUCUUAAUAAACUAAAUUCUUGUAUAUACUAUUUCAAGCCUACUAAUUCACCUUUCAUACAACUAGCCCCAUGAAAUAUAAUUUGGUCUAAUUCAAUUAACACUAUUCCCACUCCUCUAUUGUUGCUAAACACCUUUUUUAUGCUUCUAAUUUUUGAUCGUAUGUUGCCACAGUAUUUUGAGAAAGAAUUAAAAAAUAUGUAUGACUCCUAUGCACUAAGGUACUACCCCUUUAUUCAAUGACUGGUUUAUCAAGAAACUAAAACUUAAUGACUCUAUUUCUAAAAUAACCUAAAGUGAUUAUGUCGAAUACUGUAACUAAGAAAUUUCCGUAUGCCCAUCUGGAUGGAAUAGGUCUACCUACUGGGGUAGAAACUAUGAAAGGCUCUACUAUAGUUUUGAGACUGACUCCAAAAUGGACAACUAUAUCGGGGUUACAAAAAAAAUGUAAAGCCCCGGUGUAUAAUAAAGAAUAAAUAUAAAGAUGAAGGACCUAUAAUGUACCUAUAGAAAUAUCAGGAGAGCUUUGCUAAUCCUGUCGGGACUGAAGUGCAUAUAGUUCAUUCUGAUGCUGGCCACUAAUGGCAUUAGAAGUGGCACCCUGCCAAGUCGGGUGACCAGACAGAAUUUGAGGGCGACUGUGCUGACUUCGUAGACCAACCAUAUGAUAUUAUAUAACUCUGUGCCCUAGAUUUCCAUAUCCAAAACAUACAUCACUACCGGCUCUACACACACCUUUAUGAUUUCUACCACAUUCUUCGCAAAGUGGAUUAGUACAAACUUUCUUCCCACUACCCUAUGACUUAGAGCCUGGUUCUCAAUCUCGACUGUCAUUCCUAAACUUAGGAACUGGUGUACUGGCUGAAGGAGGAGCUAGGGCUAAGGAUUUCUGAUGGAACUAGGAAUGGUUUCACCCUCUGACGUUAGCAUAAAAUUACCUGUUGUAGCCCUCUUACUUUUUUUUUCUCUCUCUCUCCCUACGCUCCUCCCCCUCAAUCUACUGAGCAUCAACCCUAAGUAUAGAUACAACAAUAGCCUACUGAUAGUUUUGAGUAGCUACUAAAUGAUCCAAGGUAAUGAAAGCAGCUCUGAAUUCGACAUAGGAGACAUUCAUUAAGGGGUUCUUUCUGAACAAGCGGAGGUACGGGAUGAUUCCCAUUCCUCCUUUCAUUUUUCCUUAUAGGAUGCAUGGUCUAGAACAAAAUUGAGAAAAUAUUAGGAAGAGAGUUUAAAUUAGGCUCAUAAUUAUUCACAUGACAUGAACACUGAAAGAAGGGAAACUUUUCCUAAAAAUGUUUUGUAGCUUCUUGUCCAUAAGUGUGGAGCUCUUUACACCCAUGCACAAGACUAUAUGCAAUAUGGAUUUCAGACUCCCUACGAUGCUUUAAAACCUUGGGAUCUGAUACCAAGUUGGUAAUGUGUAAGACCCCGUAAAAGUUCUAGUUCAAGUCAGUCCUAUAUAGCUUGUAAUCUUAGAAAAUUUCAGCCAAGUGUUAACACUUAGUCUCAUUUUUGUCCACAAAAUUUCAAUGACAUCAUUUACAAUAUUUUUGGCCUUAGAUUGUAGAUUUUUAAGUUGAUUCAUGAUCAGAGAUGUUAAUAGGUCAUCUUGGGUGAGUUUUAGAAUUUUCAGACAUCAUUUGAGUCGCGUUUGGAUAAUCAACAGCAAACCAAUGCGAUCUCGAUGCAUUGCAUUGGCUAUUAUAUCGACGCGACAUAUUGGUAAUCGCAUCGACAAUAUCAACAUGGUGCAUCGACACCAUCGACAUGGCGCGUCUCCUGCUGUAUCACUAGGGACAAUUUGAUCAUUUAAUUUUGACUUUUCAAGGGCAAUUAGGUCCUUUUCCCCUCACUUAAUUCAGCCAAAACACAAAAUUAUGCUCCCUAAAGGGAAAAAUAAGUUCAUUAUUAACAAAAUACUCUUAAUAAAUAAACCCUAGUUCAUCAAGCUCAAGACGAAGUCCAAGAAAUCCCCGAAAUCUUAAUGAAUUCCAUCACUCAGGUAUGUUAGGUGUUCAUCCUUGGAUUUCCUUCCAUCUUUUGAGUUUAAGAACCCUUUUUAAAACUUAACUUAUGAUUCCCAUGUUAUGAAUUGAAUUAUGCUCAUGUUUGUGUUGUUAUUUGAGUUUCAAAGUUAAGAAAAUAUGAGUUUCAUGCAAAAUAGAUCAAUGGGUAUGUUGGUUGAUGUAGAUCUCAUGUCAAACCCUAAAUUAUGAAUUGAUUGUUGUAGUCGUGAUGCAUUAACAUGUGUUCAUUCCCAUAUACAAGGUUAUGCUCCCGAGGUAUUUGACAAAAUUUCUAAGUGAAUGAAUUUUGUAUUGUGAUCUUUUGGUAAUCUUAGUAUUGAAAUCAAGCUAUUACUAUAUGUCUAAACUAAUCCCAUGCUUAAGGUAUGCCUUGCAAGUGUUUGAUAAAAUGUCCAUAUGAGUGAAUCAUGCAUGGUAACCUAUUGUUGUGUUGUUAAAGUUGUUAUAUGAGUUUUUCAAUUAUGCUAUCGAGUCUUGGGGGUAUUUAUUACCUGAAAUCUAGCUAUUUACUUAGUUGCAGUAGUUAUAGAAUCGUCCCAGUAAAGGUCAAGAACAGUAGUACUCAGUCAGUUAACAAAACUCAGUGAACUCAAUCCAGUAUAGUCAGUUAACACGAUCAGUGUCAGUUAAGUCAAGACUAGUACAAUCUAGUAAUCAGUUCAGUGCCGAUUCAGUUGUGAGUAGGAUUCAGCAUCGAGUGAACCCAGGGAUAGGGGCAUUCCCACCAGUAGAGGGUUUGACCCUUAGUAGCAUUCCAUGCAUUAUGGAACUACGUAGCUAGGGUAGGGUAAGUCAUCUUUUAGCCAGACUAAGGUUUACACAAUAAUAGAUAUAUUUUAUGAGUCUUUCUAGAUUAGGGUUGACCCAACAUUUUUAGUAUUACAUGGCAAGGUGCUAACAUCUUUCCAAGUAGGGUUACAGGUUAGACCCUAAAUCAGUCUAAAUUGGGUUAUGUCAGUUAGAUAAACACUCUCACAAUUACAAUUUUAAUCUCAGUACUCAGCAAAGAACUCAGUCAAUUCUAUAGAACCCUACCUAUCAGUUAUUAAUUACUCAGCCAUCAAAAUUCAGCACUCAAUUUUAGUAUAAUCUCAGAUACACGAUGUAUAUUUAUAUGCACAAUAUAGCAUGUUCAGUAUGUUCAGUAGUUUCAGUUUUGUAUGUACUCUUAUCUAGUUACUUCAUGAUGUUUAUUCAGUCAAUUAUCAGCUCAUGCAUAUAAACCUAUGUCUAUCAAACUUACCUCACUUAGCAUACCAGUACAUUCCACAUAUUGAUUGUAUACUUUGCUUUGCACUAUGAUGUCUCAUAUCAUAGGUUCAGGCGCUCAGUUUCCUGACCAUACUCAGUAGCUUAGGCUAUCUGCAGCAGCUAUACUGGGGGUCCUCAUAUUUCAAAGACAAAGUUUAUCCAUUUUAGCAGUUUAGUAGUUAUUUCAGUCAGAGUUAGUUGGGGGUUUUUCCUAUCAACUCCAUAUUUAGAUAGGUAGAUGCUUUUAGACUCACAUAGAAAGUUAUUAAGUUUUCAGAUAUUAUAAUCGAUUAUACUCAAUUCCUAUUAUUUUAGUAUAUUGAUAACCAUAUGGCAUUUUCAGAUUUUUCCUGCAUAUAUAUUUUAGUAUUAUAUUCAGUGCUCACAGCAGGUACUAGUCAUGAUUAGCUUGUGGUCCUUUGGGGUCGUAAGCAACAUGUGGCACCUAGGGUAAAGUGUGGAUGUGUUACAUAAUGCCCCGAGAGUACACCCUGGAUGCCACAUGAUGCAUGUGAUCCCAAAAGACCAUAAGCUAAUGCAUGACUGGUACCUACUAUGAGCACUGAGUAUAACUGAUAUCAGAAGAUCAUAUUUGUUAUUUAACUGAAAAAGCUAUAAGGUUUUAAGACAUAGUUCUAAUAAAAUUUGUAAAACAAUACUGACAAUACUGAUAAAACGACUGAAAACUGACUAACUAUCUGCACUAGUCUAAAAAGCCUCUAUUGACUAACUGUGGAGUUGAUGGGACAAACCCCCAACUAACUCUAACUAAAUAGAAAAUACUUACCUAAUAAGGUAAAAUAAGAUAAAUAAAUCAUGUCCUCGAAGUAUAAGGAUUCACCCCUGCUACGAUUGAUAAUCUGGUAUGUCUAUGAGCGAUCAGGGAACUAAGCAUCUGAACCUAUAAUGUUAACAUCAUAGCGGAAGAAACGAGUAUAUAAUCAAUACUUUCAAUGUAAUGGAAGGCUAAAUGAGGUUAGGCUAAUAUGCAUAGUUUUAUGUGCAUAAGUAAUAACUGACUGAAUGAAUAUCAUGAAGUACUAAGGAAGAAAGUAUGAAAACUGUAAAGAUUCAGAAUGUAUGGCCAAGUAUAAAACAAGAUUCUAAAAUAGUUUGUGAACUGAAAAUACUGAAAUAAUAAUAGUUGAAUAACUUAUACUGCAUAAUAUGGUCAAGAAAACCUAAAAUUGAUUUCUAGAUUGAGACUGUGGGAGAUAGCUAUAACCAACAUGCCCUAAUAUACUAUCAGGGUUUAACUUGUAACCCAGUAUGAAGGCUAUUAGUAUCGUGCCAUGGGUACCACUAAUGGCUUCGUGGAUCCACUAAGAUACUGAAGAACAAGGGUAUUAAGGCUAAACUGAUGGGUUAUCCAUGAGCGGAGUCAAAUCUAAUCUGAUGGGUGAUCCCUGGCAGGAAGUCAAGCCUAAACUGAUAGGUGACCCCUCAUCAUACGCUUACUACAUAGUUCGGGAAUACAAGGACUGCUACAAAUGACUCUGCCUAACUGAUGGGGAAGCUGUCAUUCCUACACACGCUCGAUGCUAAAUCCUACUCCCAACAAAAAGAUACUAAAUACUAUUUUGAACUAGGUUUAACUAUUUAUGGUAAUUGACCAAACUAAUAACACUCAUAUCUAUUCUUAAACCAUUAUGUAGAUACUGAAAAACUAGGUGAGUAGCUAAAUUUUGGGUAUUUAACCCCAGGACUCGAUAGAAAAAAUAACUAGAUCAUACUAAAACUUAAAGGACAUGAUAGGUAAGUCAUUAUUCAAAACUCAUUCUCUUAAACAUUUUAUCAAACAUAUGAUUGUCAUGAUUUAAAGCAUGUGGAUAGUUUAAAACAUAUGGUAAUCACAUGGCUAUAAUACUAAAUCAUAAAUUAGGGAUUUAAUGUGUAAAUUUUAAUUUCAACAACAACUCAUUGUAAACAUCAUGUAUAAUCGGAAACCAGAAAGAUUCAUGGAGAUAAUUUAUUGUAAACAUGUAAACUCAUGAUUUAAAACUUAAAAAUAGCUUCUUAGACUCCAUGGGUGAAAAGGGUCCAUGGAUGAACAUCAAACAUACCUAAACGCCUUGAUCUAGAAAGAGAAUUAACUUUUGUUGAAUGUUCUUUGAUUGGAAACCUUAAAUUCUUGAUUAUCUUGAAGAGAGUGCAAGUCUUGAAGUUCUUGGGAGAUUACCUUAAGAAGAAACCAUAAUUUUCUUAUUGUUCCUUAGAGUAAAGAGAGUUAAUGGCAUCUAAAAGUGAUAAGUGAUUGCUAAUAACAUAUAAUAAUGCUUUAGGUUAUGGGGGAGGUAGGGUUUGAAGUGAGAAAAAGACCAAAAUACCCCUCCAAAGUUAGAUAAAAAUUGCUGAAAUUUUUAGUUGAUGACUUGAGUUGAUAGCUUAUCAACUAGUUGAUGACUUAUCAACUUAAGUCGUCAACUCAUUGUUAGAUUUGGGCCCUUGCUGGUCAUGGGUGAUAACUUGGGUUGGUGAUGUCUUAUCACCACUAGUAGUCACUUUGUGGCUGGAAUUAUCACAUACUGAUUAUGGGUGGCGAAUUGAUUUGAUAAGUCAUCACUUAGGUGACGGUUUAUCAACUCAAGUCAUCACUUGAAAGCUGAAGUUGAUUGUUUACUUGUUGGAAUGAUAAGUCAUCACUUAGCUAACGACUUAUCAACUCAGGUCGUCACUUUGUUGACAGACAGACAUGCUGAAGUAAAAGGAGUAUAACUUUCUACUCCAAUGUCGGAUUAAGGUGAAACCAAAUGCGUUGGAAAGAAGAUUCAAAGAUCUUUAUUUGGGUAUAUAGUAGGUCACGUAACUCAUUAUGUACAAGGAUUAAUGAUCAUUUAAAUUUGACCCAAGCUGAAAUGUCCCCUAAAACAUAACCAAUAGAAGUGUUCUUAACUCGUCUUUGAGUUAGGAGAUUAUUGAGUUCAGGUUUGUAUACUUAGGAACAAUGUUUUAAAUUUUAUCCCAAAAAUGUGGAGUGUUACAACUUGUGAGGGAAAGUCGUGUUAUAACCAUGUUGGAUUUUCACAUUAAAACUUGUGUUCUUACUCUUCCUACAUUGACUUUAAUUUUCAGCACCUCAUAAUUGCUCUACUGAUCCAUCACUUGAAAUUGAUCCCGAGGGACUUGGUCCCUCACCGUGCGGUGUAACCUCCAAGGGUUCAGCAAAAGGUUUACUUUGCGCACAAUAAUAAUAGCAAAUCUCAAACUAUUCACGGUAGGUGAAAAAAUGAAAUUGCAUGAAAAGUGAAUCAUGCAUGUUGGUGGGAAGUUUUUUUCUUUUUUUGUCUAUUUCCAUAAAAACACUUUAAAUUAAGUUUUAGGAAUUUCUAACCUUUUAGUAUAUACUCCCAUUAGUCAUCUAGGUUUCAAGUGAAACUUUUGGAACUCCAUCACUAACGUGUAUUCUAACUUAUAGGUAAGCGACAUGCACACAAUUAAAAUAGGAGAAAAAGAAUACAACAUAACGAAUGUUAAUAUAACAUAUUUAUGGCUUCACUUCACAUUUACUUAUUUUAGACCCUUUUUAACUAACUUCUUAAUUUAACUUUCAUUAUUUACAUUCUGUAGAUAGUAGUUAAUGUCUACAUGUAUUUAGUGAGGAUUCAUACAAAAACAUAUAAACCUUUUUUCUCUCUCUUUUCAGCUACAAUAGAGAUUAAUAAGGAAAGGUACAGGAAUCAACACCUAAUAUUUUUUCCACCUUCCCCAUAAUAAUCUCUUUGCAUAUAUAUAUAUAUAUAUAUAUAUAUAUAGAUAGAUAGAUAGAUAGAUAGAUAGAUAGAUAGAUAGAUAGAUAGAUAGAUAGAUAUAGAUAUGUAUAUAAUAGCAUAAAUAGAUUCUAUUAAAUUAAUCUAUAUAUAUAAAGUAUACAUGUACAAAAUGUAUAUGUAUACAAAAUGAAAACAACAAAUAUUGAAUAUUAAGACUUUAAGUAUAUACAAUCCGUAUACAAAAUAUAUUAAGACUAUAUGUGCAACAACAUGUACAUAUAUUUAAGGACAUGUAUAUACAGUUAAUCAAAUGAGUAUACAAAAUAUAGAUGUUUAUACAAUUAUAUACAAUUAAGGAUGUAUAUUUGUCAGUAUGUAUGAUUAUAGAUACAAAUAUACAUUUACUCAUAUCUUUAAGAUAAAGAUGAACUGAUACAAAUUCAAAUAUAUAAAAUGAAUAUAAAUUCAGAUUAUAUGUAUAAAUAUACAAAUUCAAAAUGUAUAAAUGUAUACAAACUAAAAAUGUAUAUAUUCUUUCAAAAUGAAUAUUGAUUGAAGAGUGAAGGAAAUAUAACAAACUAAAUACAAAAGUACAAAUGCGCUGAUACCAAUAUACAAACAACUUCACUUUAUGACUAAAAAAAUUUUAAAAUACAAAUAUACAUUUUAUAGAUGUAUUUCAACUGAGGAUGGUGAAGAACACAUCACUACAAAUGGCGGAAAAGAACCACUACUGGCUCCACUUAGACCACCAAGCAAAUCUGAAAGAAUCACUAUUACGCGUCCUUGUUUUGUCGUCGUCCAACUUUUAAUAACCCAAAAAACCCCUCCAAGCAAAAUUUCCUCUAACCCCUCUUUCCUAUACUGUUCUGACAGAACCGACAACGACAACAAUGAAAAUCUACCAAUACCAAAGUGUUUGUUUGUGUUAGAUUCAGUUUUUGAUUUUGUUAAGUUUAUCAGUUUUGGUAUUUUUCUCUUCGAGAUUUCAGGUGAAUAGAGUGUUCAAAGGAAUUAUUUUUUAUUCUAUUUGGUCGAACAACUUGGGGGUUUUCUGAAGAAGGAGAUGAUAAGCGACGCAACAAGGAAGAAGGGGUUGCCGCCAUGGGAUUUCGCCGAGAAGAAGGUGGCAAGGAAGAGGGGUGUGGGCUUUAUCUUCAAGGAGGUAGCGAGAAAGAUGAUUUCCAUUGAAAUCUCUUUAAUAAUGGUAUUAUUAUAUCAUGUGCAAAAGUAGCCAAGAAGAUGAAUGCGAAUGUUUGAAAAAUCAAGUGAGAGAGAAUGUGUAUUAGGUAUAUACGUUAUUUAGAACGUUUGUAUAUGAGAGCCCACAUAAAAAAUAGAUAAAAAAUUAAAAAAUAAUCAUGUAAGUUAAUUAUUUUAAUUAAAAGUUACAUAAAUUCAAACUCUUUUGAAGUUAAUUACUACCUAUCCCAUCUCUUUUCAAUAUUACUAAAAAAUUUUUGAUUUAUCUCGCAUUAAUACAUCACAUUUUUUGAAUACAUCACUUAAUUUUACACUGAUACAUCACAUUCUUCUGGAUGCAUCAUAUUUUUCUGUGAUGUAUCUGAGCUUUUAAGUAAAAUUAGAAUUUUAUAUUAUUUAAAAGAUUUAAAAUUUUAAAUACUUAUGGUAAGUUAAAUAGUAGUAUGAUAGAAUUUUUUCAUUUAUUUUCCAGCGAGGAAACCAAACCACCUUUCCGUCCCAUAGUUCAAUAGUAAAAAUACAAAAAAAUUACAUCAUAGCACUAAUAAUCCUAUUAUAUCUUUAAAAUGUCGUAUAUUAUUUUUUUAAUUACAUCUUGUACCAUAUUAUUAUGUAUCUGAAAAGUAAUUGUAACGAUUUAAUUGUUGGUGAUUUAUGUGAAAUAUUUAUUUUCAUGUGAUUUGAUUAUUUUAUCCCUAUUCAUAGUAACUUUGUGAUAUUUUGGGGUUUGACAUAGUUUCUGAUGCAUUUUGGUGUGAUUUAUGUGAUAUUGUGAUUUUUGCUUGCUUGAAUAGCCUUAUAGUUAGUUGACUUCAGUCAAUAUUUAUUGAUCUGUACAUUGGAUGGCUAAACGUACUGCGCCAGUAGAUCUGAAACAUCAAUUUAAGGGUGGUAACAUGGUUGGUAUGGUUUUAUGGCAUUUAUAUCUCAUUUCGACCCACCAUUUAGAGAGUUGUGAUAUUGGGUUUCAAGGGCCAACUUUAUGAAAAUGACAUUUUUUCAAAAAUUCGUUAUAAUCAUUGAAUCAGAAGUAUCGAAUUAGAUAGGGUAGCAAAGUUUGUUUGCAUUCACGAGAUUCUAGAUAAAUUCUGAGAGGUUCAUGAAGACUUGAAAUUCUCCAAGUUUAUAGCUGGUGCACUCGCGUAAGCGAUACUUUGAUCGCUUACGUGACUUGACAGAUCAGACCAAGUGUUGAUUAUGAGAUAUCUUGGUUGCGAUUGUGAACCCCACAUAAGCGAUGACAGGUUCGCUUGCACGAUGUCUAUCUCUAGCAAGGUAUCGCGUACGCGACACCUAGUCACUUAAGCGGUCGCUUAAGCGACCCUGUGAUCGCGUAUGCGAUGAGUGGAUCCUUUAAAUACCUAUGUUUCACUAUAUUUUCACCAUUUUUGUGACUUGGAGCCUAGGCUUUUGUGAUUUUGAGUGAUUUCCUCCAUUUCUAAGCUUGGAUAAGCACCAAAACACCUAUUUCAACUAAUUUUAUCAUUUAAAUCUAGUUUAAAUGAGGAAGUUUAAAAGUAAAAAUUGGAGAUUUUGGCUUCGGAGGUUUAAAAAUUGUAUUUUUGAAAUGUAAACCCAAUUUCAAUAUGUUUUUACUUGGAUGAGUUUCUAGUCUUAUAAUUAUCACUUUUCUCUCAAUUUCAUCUUCGAAACAACUCCAAUUCUCGAUUUUAAACUGAAUUUCUUGAGUCUUGCUAGUAAAGCUUGAAAAUAAUUUUUUAUCGAUUUGGACCUUAUUUUUAACUCGUUUUCGGCUGGGUUUUUUGUUGUAGCCUCCUAAGAGUAUGAAAAACAUGUUUCAAAAAUUAAAUUAUAAUUUACCCUUAUUUUUUUAAAAUUCAUUACGGGGGUCCAUUUGACUCCGACUCAAAAUUAGGCAAUAUGAGUAUCGUUGACUUUUUUUUAUGCAUAGAUUCUAUAUUCCUAUGUAUUUGGAGUAAGUCUUAGAAGAUUUUUGGAUCGAUUUUCGGCAUUCGAGGUGGGUUAUGGCUUAACUUUCUUCAAAUUAGGUUGGGUAUUUAAUGCUGAUACAAAAUCAUGUUAAGAGUGUGAGAACUAUUAAUAGAAAUGACUAUAUUUAUUGUAUUGUGCCCAUGUAGGAGUCUCUAUAUUAAUGUUAUUUAGUAGUUUUGGACUAUUAUUUACUAUGUGUGACCGCGUGGGGUUCUAUAUAAUAUUAUUGUCCUUUUGUACAUGAAAUUAGUUGUAUCUUGUUUGAUAAAAAAAUCUAAUAUGGUACAAUGGUCACUUUUAAUGUAUUUCAUUCUAUUGGUAUAUGGACUAUGUUGGAUUCAUGGAUGGUUGGAUUAAUGAGUGAAUUUUGACUCACUUUGUGGGAUAUUGUUUGGAUAUGAAAUUUCUUAUUCUAGUUGGAUGUGAGCAUUACAUCCUCAUAUCAAUUCAUUCAUGAAAUAUUGGUACCAUCUUGAAAAUACUUGAAACACUAGCUUUUCUGAUAGAAAAGGUAAUAUCUUUAAAACCUUCUACUGAUGGAUGACCUAGAGAGGAGAUAAGAAUAUUGGUAUUGGAUAUUGGUUAUGUACGAAUUGGCGAACCCCCCAUGAGUCAUACAUUGAAAAACUUUAGCUCUGUAGGUGUGUAUGGAGGCUGUGUGAUGACCCCAUGCAUCACACCAUCAUCAUCAUCAUCAUCCCCAUUGAAUUUAUAUUUACAUUGUACCAUUAUUUGUGUUGCAUUAUCUCCCUUGAUGUAUACCUGUCUAAGUGUAUUUCUUCCUUUAUAAGUGUAUGUGUGAUAUUUGUAUACUUAUAUUCCUUUUUCGUAGUCUAUGGUGUAUGUGAAUAUUAUAGAACUAUUAGUGAAGACGGUGUGAGCUACCGUUUGGGACAUUUUUUUGUUGCAGGUGACGUAUCCUUAGUAUGUAUUUUGUAUGUUUUAUUUUCUACUUUUCUCAGUCGGCCUAUGAUACCUAUUUAGAAUAAGUAAACCGUACUAACCCCUACUGUGCUCUUUCAGUGCAGAUCUAGGUUUGAGUGUGCCUCACGGUGGUUGAUUUAAGAGACAUUUGGAGCUUUUCGAGGUAACGGUUGAUUUCAUGCGUCUUGAGUUGACUACUAUUUUUCCUUAUUUAGACUAUGUCUUUAUUUGUAUUCUGAGACAGAGUUGUUCCUAUUUUGGAUAACUUAUGUAUUUUGAUCUCGAGUUGUACUAGUUAUGUUUGUAUUGGUAACACUAGAUUUUGCGCUUUGGUCUGGUAUCAUUGACUAUGUUUUUUCACUUUUACUAUAUAUACAUGUGGUUCGACUCUGCUCUAGGAGUUUUGCUGUAGGGUUUGAUAUCAUUUUUCUCAAUUCAUAUUAGUUUGGGUGAUAAGCUUGCUUGUCAAGGCUUACCGUGGUAAGUGCCAUCAUGACUCUUGGAUUCUGGAUCGUGAUAACAAUGUAUCUGAAGAAUUAUACAUCCGAAGAAACUUGUACGUGAGAUGAUAUAUCAUUAGUUAACUUAUAUAUCCCGAAUAAUUAAUUAUGAUCAUGAUACAUAACAAUCAACCUAACUUAUGUAUAAUGAAUUAAUUAUGGGCAUGACAUAUUGAAAGUUAUCUAAUAAUACUACACCUUAUAUAAAACAAUUCAACGUAUUCGAAGAAAAGUAAUGUAUCUAGCUAACAAUUAUUUGGAAUUUUAUGUAAUAUUUAAAAUAUAUGAGGUAUAGAGUAAUUAAGUAUCAUAGUAAUGAGAUUUAUAUUGUUUAUGCCACUUUGAAUUUCUUGUGAAGUCCACUUUCUUGUUAAUAUUGACUAAAACAAAAAUGUGUGUAUUUCAAAUCAGUAAGAUUAAAGUUCAUUUAUAAAUGUGAUAAUUAUUUUUUCCCAUAUUUCACCCAUUAGUCAAAUGAUUCGAGAAAAUAUAAAAUAUUAAUGGCCUGUCACUAUUGUUCUUCCUUGUGGGUUUGGAGAAUGUUGGAGGGAUGGAUGUAAAAAGGUUGACAUUAAAUCAAUAGUACUACUGAUUAUUAUGCAUAUAAUAGAAAGAAAAAAAAGAAAUAUACUAUUGAAGAAACAUUGUCAGUUUAGGCUUACAGCUGAACUUUGUUGGUUCGUCAAAUUAUGUGUUUAAGACGAACAUUUUCAAUGCAUGGCAGGUGCUGAGAUUUAAGUACUAGUCUUAAUUAGGUCUAAGCAUGAAUUUGGAUAUAGUAGAUUCACUUUUAAUAAAUGGAAAAGAGUCAGAAAUACCUUUCAAUUGACAUGGUUUAAUAGAUUUGAUCGGGUAAUUUUAGUUGGGUAUGAAUUUAGUUAUAAGAUAAUAAGAUUUAAACUAAUUUAAUUUACAAUCAAUAGAAACGUUACACGUAAUAAAUACUAUUUUUAACUAUGUUUAAAAAAGAUUCGUUAGCUGUAAGGAAAUAUUUAAUCCAUAAAGGUGAAUAAAAGGAUAUUUUUGGCCUAAUAGAUAAACAAAUAAUAUUUUGAAUCAAUUCCAAUAGAAUAUUUCUUACCCUUUUACAUUUAGUAAAAAGUGAUUAGUGAAAACUGGUUCCGUUUCAUCAUUCCAUGAAAUAUAAAGAAUGUCGCGUCACUUCAUGCUAAUAAAAUAGUGUCAUAUUAUCAUAAAUUAUUGAUGUCAUUUUUGGUAAUCUUGAAUCGACUUGUCUUCUCUUCAAUGCAAUCUAUUAAUUAAAAGCUCAUAACGAACGCACAUAAAUUAUUGUCUUGUGGUUGUUUUUACAAAUCAUUAGACCAACAAGAAAUGAAGUUCCUACUAUAUGUAUUUGGUAUUUGGUCCCCUAAAUUGCACAAAUCUCUUUAGGAUUGGACCCACACGACAGUAUAUGGCUCCUUCACUCUUAUUUUUGGGUUUCUUAACCAAUGUCUCCUGCAGGGUCCGACUAAUUCGAAUUCGAACCUCGUAAGAUUCAAUCAAGGGAGCGCGCACUACUAGAAAUUAGGUCUAUGAGAACAAAUUUUUUGGCGAUGAUUAUAAAUACAUUGCUAUAGAGUAACUGCAGCAACACUAUCAAAAAUAAUUGUUUAUUAGCACUAUAACCAUUGGUACUGAAAAUAAACCAUCGCAAUAGAUAUAUAUAUAUAUAUAUAUAUAACAACACUUUUAAAAUCAUUGCCAUAAAAAUAUCUAUGGCAAUGCUUAUUCAGGAAAAAUUAUUUAUCGCAACACUUAUUAAUUCCCUCCAUAAUAUUUCACAUAAAUCUGCCUAUAGAAUACAUCAAAAACCCCUAUUUCUCUUUCUUAUGAAAAUCCCUCUCUUUCUCAUCAAUCAAAAACCCAUUUCUCAAAACCUGUUUCUCUUUAGAUCAAUCAAUCGUCUUACUACCAUUUUCGACAUUUUUGUCACCGUCGGUGUAUUUUGUUCUUGUCAACAUUCUUUUAAAAAUUAACUAAUUUUUGUGUAUUUUGUUCCAUGUUUUAUUCUUCUUUUCUUAACCUUGCUUAUAUAUAUAUAUAUAUAUAUAAAAACUAAAGAAGAACAUUUAAAAUUAUUAGAACAGUUCACAGAUAUAAUAGUAAAAUCGGGAAUAAGUCUAAGCAAAAAGAAAGCUGAAAUUAUGAAAAACCAGAUAGAAUUUUUAGGAAUACAAAUAGAUAAAAGUGGAGUAAAAAUGCAACAACAUAUAGUACAAAAAAUAAUAAAUUCGAAAGAAGAAUUAGAUACAAAAAAGAAAUUACAAUCAUUUUUAGGAUUAGUAAACCAAGUAAGAGAAUAUAUUCCAAAAUUAGCAGAAACCUUAAAACCACUGUAGAAAAAAUUAAAAAAGGAUAGAGAAUAUAAUUAUGAUGAAAAAGAUAAAAAACAAGUUCAAAAAAUAAAAUUACUUUGUAGAGAAUUACCUAAAUUACAAUUUCCAGACGAAAAUAGAAAAUUUAUAUAUAUAGUAGAAGCAGAUGCAAGUGAAUAUAGUUACGGAGGAGUACUUAAAUAUCGAUAUGAAGCAGAAAAAAUAGAACAUCAUUGUAGAUAUUACUCAGGUACGUUCAACGAAACAGAAAUAAAAUGGGAAAUAAAUAGAAAAGAGUUAUGUUCAUUAUAUAAGUGUUUAUUAUCAUUUGAGCCAUAUAUUGUAUAUAACAAAUUUAUUGUACGAACAGAUAAUACACAGGUACGCUGGUGGCUAACAAAGAAAAUACAAAAUUCAGUUACAACAAAAGAGAUUCGAAGACUAGUUUUAAAUAUAUUAAAUUUCACAUUUACAAUUGAAGUGAUUAGUACUAACAAAAAUGUCAUUGCAGAUUACAUAUCAAGACAAAGCUACACAGACUGAUAUAGUAGAGGAAGAUACUCUAGAAAAAAUACUUAACACCCUAACUACGCUUUCAAUGAAAGUGGACAGUAUGGGUAAUGAGAUAGAAAAGCUAAAGACUAAUGAAGAUAAACUGAAGUCUAUAGCUACAAAUCAGCUAACUCAGCAAUGUGCAGAGCUAUGUCGAUCGAAAGACAUUAAAAAUCCAGAGCUAGAAGGAGACGUUGGGACACUCCAUAAAACCCAUAACAUUUAUCAAUCUACUUCUGCAGGUACAAGCAAAGGAGUUAAUAGACCAAGAUACCAAAAUGCAAAUAUGAAUAAAAUAUUCGAAAAACCAUUUACCCCUAAAACACAAAAAGACCAUUUAUUCAUACCCCCACAAGUUAAUACAUACCGAGACAGCCUAAACCAAGACAAGAAAAUAUACAACUACACAUCCCAAAAAUACAUAGAAAAUAUAUACAGAGUCCAAACAUUUCUAAACCAUAACCCCAGAGCUACAGAUAUCAAAGAACCAAACACCAAUUAUAUAACCCAAAAAUUACAAGGAUACAACAAACUGAUAGCACUACCCAAAACUAACCCAAGCCUAGUUAAAACCUGUUUUGACUAUGGACUACUAAAUACCAUAUACACCCAAGACGGAGAAGAGCUAACAGCUAUGGAGGAAUUAUACAAGAUAUUUACUACCUAUAAAAGAAUAACAAAAGGAACUUUAUUUUAUAUAAAAUGUUAUACGGCACCAGCAGAGAUAUUAUAUGAUGAGAUAAAACCAGUGAUACAAGUUGUAAAGAUAGGACUGACAAGAGACAUGAUUAUACCGGAAGAUAUAUCGCGACAACCGGAGAUACCUAGAAUAGAGAUACCAGAUUUUUACGCAAAUAAAAGACUUAUUGGACUAGCUACGAUCAUACAAGAACUAGCAAAUAACUACGCUAACGGAAAUCCAAUAUGGAGCUACUAUUCAAGAGACCACCAAAUGAUAUAUUCAAAUUCGAAAGAACUAAGACAAGCAGAUAUGGAAGAUGUAAGACAGUGGAUAUUGACACUACUCAACCCAGAAAAACAAUCUACCGCACGAGCAAUAAAAAAGGGAUUUAUUUCAGACGGACUACUAACGAGAUACUGUAAGAUAAUUGGACAUAAAUAUCCAGACCACCAAUGUUCGAGGUGCAAUGGAGAAGAUAAUAUUAUUCCAGAGGUACAUCUAGAAUAAAGAAGAUAAAAUGCCAGCUGGAAGGAUAAAGAUAAAGAGCAAUAAUGGAGCAGAUACAGAGCAAUAAUAGAGCAGAUACAGAGCAAUAAUGGAGCAGAUACAGAGCAAUAAUAGAGCAGAUACAGAGCAAUAAUGGAGCAGAUACGACAAAAUCAACGGAGACAAGAUACUGUACAUUAAUUAAUUUGUUAGACUUUUUACGUAGAAAAAAUAUAUGUAAGCCACUAUUGUUGACUAUUGUUUUCUUUAGUUUUAGAAAUUGUAAGUUAGAUACCUUUUUGACUUCUUAGGCUUAGUUUUAAUUGAGAAACUUUACGUAACUUAGAAUUUUAGGAAAAGUUAGAUGGGGAUAGACCCCACUU